ACCAGAUAACUCAUUGCUAUGCAAGUGAAGCCCUUCAAGCUCGGGAAGAUGUUGACACAUAUCAUUAGGCAAACUACCUAAUAGGCUAUUCCUGGAGAGAGCAAUAGUCUUGAGAGAAAAAUGUUGAAGAUCGAAGUCGGAAUCUGAUCUGUAAGGCCUUUAAUUGCUUGAAUAUUAAGCAUUUCCAAACUAAAAAGAUUACCGAUUUCUUCAGGAAUUUGACCUGCAGACAUAGUCGAAACAUCAAGGUGUUAAAUUUCCUAUUUUGUUAGUGUAAAUCAAAGAGGCUUUUUAUUUUUUUUCGUUAUGAAAUAAUAUGGAUAUGUUCGAUUCUAAUCAUAUUUAAGUAUAUAUUAGUUCUUGAAAGAAUGAGUUCUUAUUUUUGGUAUUUAUAUUGCAAAUAUAUAUUUUUUUAAAUUUAAAAGAAGGGAGGGGGCAAAUGUGUUUAAACUAAAGACAUCAAGGAAAAGGCAUACCAAGUAUAAUUGUUUAAGUUGUGUCAAAUUCCCAAUGCUUUUUGGAAUGAUCCCACUAAAUUGAUUAAUAGACAAUUCCAAAAUUUGAAGGUUGCAGCAUUUGUCUAUACUUGAUGGAAUAGAACUUGAUAAUUCAUUUCUACUCAAGUAAAGCUCUUUCAGCUUGGGAAGAUGGACACACAAAUCAUCGGGCAAGCCACCAGAAAGACUAUUAUCACAAAAAUGAAUCCUUUUCAAAGAAGAAAUGUUAAAGAUGGAAGAUGGAACCUGGCCAGAUAAUUGAUUGAAUCCCAAGUUCAAGAUCUCUAGAUUGGACAAGUUGACAAGUGUUUGAGGGAUCGUGCCUGUGAAGUUAUUAUUUCUCAUUUCCAACCUUUGAACUCUGUGCAAGUUCCCAAGCCAUGGUGGAAUUUCCCCAUUAAGACGGUUGUAGCUUAAUCGAAUGAUCCUCAAACGAUGCAAUUGGCCUAAUUCUUUAGCCAGAUGGCCGUAGAAAUUGUUGUUGCUCAAGUCGAUAGAAAAUAGAAAUGAAAGAUUUCCAAGGUGUGGAGGGAUAGUACCCCUAAGAUUCAUGUUUGUAAGAUUAAUCAAAGCUACAACUCUUUCAUGGAUGAUGCCACAAGAAACACCAACCCACUUACAGACAGAGGUAGAGUUCGUCCAAUUGUUUGCCAACACAUUUUGAGGAUCGACAAUGCGAUCUUUAAACUCAAAGAGUGCAAACUGAUCGGAGUUGAGAUUCCGGACUGUCAUAGCCAAGGAAACAAUAGAACAUUGUAUGAAUAAAAGUGAAAGAAGAUGAAAGCAAGUGUUGUAGUUCAUGAUGGCAAGACGAAAUAAGCCAGGAAAAGGGAAGUUGAAUUGAUGAAGAAAUAGCCAGCCAACAUGCUUAAAUAGGCUUCAACCCUUGCACACUUCUCAUACAUAAAGUUCGCUGCCAUUACAACAAGAAAACUCAUAUCUCCAUUCGUACCUAUCCAUACUUUAUUUGACUAACUUUUCCCUAACAAGUGUUCAGUAAGGAGAUAAAUCAGUUUGGAGCUAUUCACCGGCUUCUCCAAUCUUGGUUUCAAACUCCUAACCCAUCAAUUCACUUUAAUUGAAACGAUAUACACGAGUCUUUCGGCUUAUAUUUUUAAUUUAAUUUUUGUUACUUUUCAUAAUAUUUUUUGAGAAAUCCAAAUAUUCCAGUCUGAAAUUUCUUCAUUGCCACGUCUAUCUCCUGGGUAAGUCCGUGGUUAGGCAGCCCACUUUGGGAGCAGGAUUGUAAUUGUAAUUCUAUCCGACUCAUUUUACUAUUUAGAAAUAUAAAAGUAAUAUUAUAUUAUUUUUUAUAUUUUUAUAAAUUUAAUUUUAAUUAUAAUUUUUAAACAAUAAAACGAGUCAUUUGUAUUUGCCUAGUCUAAAUUGAAUCAGGAGUCAAAAAAAUUUUAAUCAUAAUUUACUAUUAUUUUAAUUAAUUAAAAUUUAACCUACUACAACUAGUAGUUGCAGAAAAAAUGUCAUUCCUUUAGAAAAACGAAAAUCCUUUAGAAAAAUGAGAACUUAUGAAGCAUUCAAUAAGAGUCAUUGGAAUAAAUGGUAACGAAAUCAUAAUUCAAUAUAAAGCUAAAAAAUGUACCAAUCUAUAUAAAUAAUGUAAGAUUUGUGAUACCUAAAUUAUUAUAUUUUCCAUAAAUAUAUGAAGAUAUUUUAUUAGGAAAUAAUUUUAUAUAUAAAAUUUUUUAUUUUCUUUUGAUAGAAAUUUAAUUAUGUUAUCUGUAGAAAAAAAUAUUUAUAGAAAUAUUAUUAGUAGAAAAUCAUAAAUUUGUGUGUGGCAAAAAAAAUUCACCACCAAGAAAGGGGCAAAUUAAACAACUUGAAACAAGUCAUUGGUUGUUUAAAAUAUUAGAUAAUAAUUUCAGUGAAGAAUCAUUAAAAUUAUGACAAAAUAACCCUAGAUAUUGUAGUAUUAAAUUGGAAAAUCUCAAUAAUAUUAUUAGAGUAAAACCUAUGAUCUAUCUAAACAAGAUAUAGAAGAUUUUGAUAUACAAAUUAAGGUUAGAAAUCAUGCGGAAAUAAAAAAGAAAAAAAAGCUAGUAUGGUCAUUAAUUAUAAAAGAUUAAAUCAAAAUAUUAUUUUUUUAUAGUUACUUGAAUUAAUCAGGCUAAACAAACAAAAUAUUUUAGUAAAUUUGACUGCAAAUCAGGAUUCUAGCAAAUCAUGAUAACAGAAAAGUCCAAACCUUUAACGGCUUUUAGUGCACCCAAUGGACAUUACCAAUGGAAAGUGAUGUCAUUUCAAUUAUGUGAUGCACCACAAAUCUUCCAAAGACGAAUGGAUUUUAUAUUUAAUAAAUAUAAAAAAAUUCUAUGUAGUCUACAUAGAUGAUAUUUUUUAUAUUUUUAGAUACACUAGAAUUACAUAAGAAACAUUUAAAUAUUAUUUCUUAAGAAUUCAUAAAAUAUAGAAUCAUAUUAAACCCUAAAAAUAUAGAGUUAGAAAAAAGAGAGAGAAUUUUUAUAAUAGUGGAAAUAAAAAAUUGUCCUCAAAAGAUUGAAGAAAAAAAGAACUUCCAACAAUUUCUAAUAUAUUCCUCCCAAAUUUUCAGUUUCAAUUUUAUUACAGAAUUUCUUUGCCGACAAUAAGAAAUUAAGAGCGCUCUUUAAGUUGAAUAUAGUCCGUCAGAUAUGGCUAUCUAUAACAUGGAACCUUUGGUUUUCAAGCUGAAUAGGAGAAUUGAUUCACUUGAUAAGUAUGAAAAAUUGAAACUGCUAAAUUUAAGUGCACUAACUCUGGAUAUCAUCAUUAUUUUUCUGUACAUUAAAGUACCUGUUUGAUAUGCGAUUUCUGCCUCAAACUAUCAACAUCUUUAACAUCCUUUUGCUAUAGUUAGCAUGGGUACUUCCUUUUAGAUUAACAGUUAGGUUUGAACUGUGAAUUAGAUUUCUGUGGCUGCUGGGAUUGAAGAAGUUAGUAUGCGAAUGACAUUGGACAAAUUUGGCAAAGUCUUCUCCAUCAGUGAAGAAAACCCCUUGGCGUAUGAAAAAUGUUCACCAUCUUAGACAUUUGUUUUCUUAUUGUAAGAAUAUUUUUAACAUUGUAACUUUUAACAUUAUUGUAAGAAUAUUUUGAAUUAUACUUCAGUUAUCAAUUUAUAUCAUAUAUCUUUUGUUGAAUUUGAAGUAUAAUUUAUAUUUGCUGUUUUUGGUUAGAUUUCAUGCUAUAGGAAGGGUUGUAUAUGGAUAGAAAUUGAAUGUUACAAAUCUGCCAAAGUUAGUGGCGUUUUUUCAUAAGAGCUGCUAAAGAAUGCUAUUUUUGGCGGUGUUUGUAAUAAAAGAGCCGCUAAAGGUCAUGUUCUUUAGCGAUGUUUGUGGGUAAAGCGCCGCUAAAGAUCAUGUUCUGUAGCGGUGUUUGUGGAUAAAGCGCCGCUAAAGAACAUGACCUUUAGCAGCGUAUUUUCACAUAAACGCCGCAAAAUUUAGCGGCUUUGUCUAUAGCGACUUUUUUUGCAGCGCUUUAAGUUUUAGCGGCGCUUUUAGGCCUAAAAAAGGGCCGCUAAAAGCCUGUUUUGCUGUAGUGAGCAUAUUUACAUUUUCGUCCCAAUUUCAACUAACACCCCAUCUAUUUCCCACUUCCCUUUUUCGGGCAAUUUCAACUAACACCUUCAUAUCAAACAUAACUAUUUUUCAAUUUUUCUUCUUUAUUUCAUUAAUAAAAUUAUCAAUCUAUUUGUUUUUAAAUAUAUAAUUUCAUUAAUAUUUUUUAAAUUAUAAUAUAAGAGUUGUUGUUUAUUUAUAGUUUUAUUACAUUAUUUACUCUCUCUUUUCUAUCAAGUUUUUUAAAUUAUAAUAUAAGAUUUAUUUUAUCAAUUUGUGGCUUAUCCAGUAUUCAUCUAUUUUAAUAAUAACUUGAGUUCCAGUCAUUAUCAUACCAGAAAGAGUUCCAUUUAUUCUUUAUCGUAAAUUUUAUAAAAAAAUAUACAUUUUAUUAUAAUACUAUAUGUGUUACGAAUAAUAUUUUAUUGUGGAUGCCCAUAAUUUUCAAAGUUGUAACCUCUAAUGUAGUAACCUUAAUGAAAUUAUGAGGCUUUUAUAUUGUAAUCAAGCCUCUAUUUAUUCUUUGUAACUUAAACAGAAGCAUAUUUUCUAUUAUAUUGAUAUUUUUUAUAGAUAUAUAUAUAUAUAUAAGGAAUCAAAUAAAAAGUUAUUUACCUUUCUAUUAUAUUGAUAUUUUCUAUUUGAUUUGUUCUUUUCUUUCACUAUUCCAUAAUAUAUUAUCAGUACGAUUUUAACCAAGAGUAACAUGUUAUUAGAUUGUGUCAAAAUUUUGUUGAGAAUCAUUAGAUUGUUUCCUUUUUCUUCUAUUUAGCCCCAAAUUGCACCCCUACACAAAAUUCAACAAAAACAUGGAAAAAUUAGUGGUGCACUCUCAUAAAUUAACCAAUUUAAUUACAUAAAAUAUGUAACUUUAGCAUUUUAUCAAUCAUGUUCUUUAGCGGCAUUUGUGGGUAAAGCGCCGCUAAAGGUCAUAUUCUUUAGCAGCGUUUGUGAUAAAAGUGCCACUAAAUAUCAUGUUCUUUAGCGGCGUUUGUGGAUAAAGCGCCGCUAAAGAACAUGACGUUUAGCAGCAUUUUUUUACAUAAACGUUGUAAAAUUUAGCGGCGUUGUCUAUAGCGACGUUUUUUGCGGUGCUUUCAAAUAGUUUUAGCGGCGCUUGUAGGCCUAAAAAAAUGCCGCUAAAAGUCUGUUUUGCUGUAUGAGCAUAUUUACAUUUUCGUCCCAAUUUCAACUAACACCCCAUCUAUUUCCCACUUCCCUUUUUCGGCCAAUUUCAACUAACACCUUCAUUUCAAACGUAAUUGUUUUUCGAUUUUUCCUCUUUAUUUCAUUAAUAAAAUUAUCAAUCUAUUUGUAUUUUAAAUAUAUAAUUUUAUUAAUAUUUUUUAAUUAUAAUAUAAGAGUUUUUGUUUAUUUAUAGUUUUAUUAUAUUAUUUACUCUCUUUUUUCUAUCAAGCUUUUUAAAUUAUAAUAUAAGAUUUAUUUUAUCAAAUGGUGGCUUAUCGAGUAUUCAUCUAUUUUAAUAAUAACUUGAGUUCCAAUCAUUAUCAUACCAGAAAGAGUUCCAUUUAUUCUUUAUCGUAAAUUUUAUAAAAAAAUAUAUAUUUUAUUAUAAUACUAUAUGUGUUAGGAAUAAUAUUUUAUUGUGGAUGCCCAUAAUUUUCAAAGUUGUAACCUCUAAUGUAGUAACCUCAAUGAAAUUAUGAGGCUUUUAUAUUGUAAUCAAGCCUCUAUUUAUUCUUUGUAACUUAAACAGAAGCAUAUUUUCUAUUAUAUUGAUAUUUUUUUAUAGAGAUAUAUACAUAAGGAAUCAAAUAAAAAGUUAUUUACCUUUCUAUUAUAUUGAUAUUUUCUAUUUGAUUUGUUCUUUUCUUUCACUAUUCCAUAAUAUAUUAUCAGUACGAUUUUAAUCAAGAGUAACAUUUUAUUAGAUUGUGUCAAAAUUUUGUUGGACUUCAAGUAUUGGAAUUUAAUUGUUUAAGUUAAGAAUCAUUAGAAUCAAUGGCUAUUUGAGAUAUGCUUGAGGAUGAUCUCAUUCUCUUCAUCACAAAGGUGGAGGUUAGAAAAUCUUUAUGUUUAAACAUUUAUAGCUUUAAAGUUAUUUUAACCUCUUAUUGUGACCUUAUAAUAUUUUGUAAUUUUUUGUAUUAUGGUAUAUAAAAAAAAUCUAACCAUAGUGAUUGAUUAGUAAUAUGAAUUUGUUAUUUGUUAUGUUUAAUAUAUAUUUUAUUUAUACUUAUUCAUUUUAUUUUUAUAUGAGUAAAUGAAGUGUUUGAAGAUUCGAAAUUUUUAUCAUCCAAGUUGAAAAUAAGUGCAAAAGUGUACAUUAUUUAAAAUAAAUUACGCAUUCAUUAAUGUUAUAUGAUAAAAUCAUUACAUGUUCUAAAGAACUAAUAUUGCAUCAAACUGUAAAAAGCUCUUGAAGAGUUAAUAUUUUACCUCCUUGUGAUACAAAAUCAUAUACAAUAUGAUAUUAUUUUUCAAAUCGAGUAGAUAUAUGUUGAGGGAAAUCUUUAUGUGGUUUACAUUAAAACCAUGGAUAGAAAUGACAUGAGAUACUCGUGUAUUUUUAUUAUAAAUAUUCCUUGAAGGAAGACACUUCACUUGUAUGAUUGACAUAUGAGAUAGUGGCAAGAAGUUCAUAGUGUUGGUAUGGUCGUCUAGAUCAUCUCAAAUCAAUAAUGAUGCAAAAUAAUUUGAAGAGAAUUUAUAUGAUUUUAUUGAAGAAUGAGAAGAUAUUUUCAUUUUGAUAAUUGUCAUCAAUACUAGUUCUUUGGAAAAAAAAUAUUGAACUAACAUAAAGUUAGAGGUUGGUUGCAUUUUUUGAUGAUAUCCAAAUAAUAUAUGAGCUCAUGUAUCACAUGUAUGCAACCCAAAGUUUACAGUAUUAUUUCUUGAAAUAAUUUGAUUCUACACAAUCUCUAUAGUAUGCAAUUUGUGCUAACAACGUUGGUGCAUUAUAUCCUAAGCUUGAUUUUCGUAGUUUUAGCUGAGAUAAUAUUAAGUUGUCUAUGCCUAUAUAUGUUAUACUUAAUGGUUAGCAAAAUUGUGCCUCCAUUUAAUUGCUUAACCAUUAAUAUAAGAAUAACUUUAAAAUAAGCAUGUAAUUUUAUUUGCAUAGAGUCAACAUGUAAGAAACAUUUGCCCCAUGAGAAUUGGCUUUCAUUUAUAAGCCAAUAGGUUUCAUAUGACUAUUUGGAUGUAAAAUAUCUAUUUUAUAUUCCACCAUAAUGCACUAAGAUGGUCCAUCAAGUAUGAAGUUGAGAAAAUUUAGAAUUUUUAUUUGAUGGUAAAAGUUGAAAAGAGAUAUAUACUUAUAAUUUUGAAAAAAAUAGUCAUGUUGCAAAUUUUUCUCAAUAUUAGGGGGAGACAAGUUGGACAAAUAAGGAUAAUUAUGUCAUCACUUUUUGUGAUCCCUCACUAAUAUUAUGUGCACAAAGUUUGAAGGAAAAAAGUAUUUGCUAGACAUGUUUAGUGAUGACACUUAGAGAUUGUAUAUACUAGAUGAUACAUAUACCAGCUAAAAUGUUCCAAAUAAUUAUGAGUCCUAGAAGGACAUAGUGAUAAAAAUAAUUUUUGGGCACGCUAGAAGGAUAAAAAACUAGUUCAUUCUAUAAAUCAAAAAAUUCUUGAAAGAAAAGAGUAAGAAAUGAAGCUGGCCACACAUUAAAGGAAACGAGUACUCAUGAAGAGACCUAAGGCAUAACUUUUAAUAAAACCCCAAAAGAGGUUCAAUACAUGGAAUUAUGAAUAUAAUAAGAUAUCUCGAUUAGUUAUAUCAUAACUAAAGAUGAUGGGGUUGAUAAAAGGAAAUUGUUGUUAACAACGAUAAUCUAAGUAGAACAUUUCAAUAUUAUGGUAAAAUGAGUAUUUUGAAUGAAAAUAUACUUGAAAGUAUUUAGAUGGGAACAACUCAUCAAAAUAAAUAGACGUUUCUAUUAUAACUUAUGAAAUGUGUCUCGGACAUGAAGUCCAAACAUUCGACAGGUGUAAAGCCAAGUGGAGUAUAUGUUAGCAUAAUAGUGAAAAAAUACAAAUCAUAAUAUAUAAAAUUGACUUGUAAGACAAACUUUCCCAAGACACUUGAUUUUGAUUAUGAAAAAUGAUUAAUUUGUGAUCUUAUCAAUUGAACAUACUUUGUAUAAUCAACAAAUUAUUAAUUAACCUCAUUUAACCAAUUUCCUUCAACACAUUUCAAAUCAAAUUAAUGUGUUGAGCACGCCCUUAACCCUUUUUCUUGAUUCAUUGCAUAGUCUAUUUCCAAGUACCAUAAUCAUCAACAUUUCAAUAUAUAAAGUCAUAACAUAAUGAAUCAUAGUUAGAAUUUUUUUUACCCUAUUAACCAAGUAUGGAACAAAAAUAAAAACCUAAUUUGUCAAGCUCAUUCAAUCAGCUUAUAUAUUAUAAGAAGAGCCUAAGUAUAAAUCCUAUACAUGAUUUCAAAUUCAACUAUUUAUAUUUGAGAUUCAAUUUAAAAUUCAUACUGAAAUUAUCAAAUUAACUCGUAAGCUACUCACGCUAAACAUUAAGGUACUCGAAUUCAAGUGGCUAGAUAUCAUAAACACUUUUAGCUUGUAAAACUAUUUCUAAGGGUCAGCCCAGAAUCAUGGUUGAACCCAAAAUCUGGUAACAAAAAUUUAAUUGAGCCAUCAGCCUAAAACAAAUAAGGCUUAAAAGGUUGGCACCCGAACAAUCAAAGAUAAACACCACCAUAUGCCACUCCCUGAAUCCGAUACAUACAAUAACACCCUUCACCACUUUUAUUCUUCUCCUUUUUUUUAACCUCAAUUUGGAUGGUCGCAUUUCUCUUUUUAGUGCUUUAUAGGGUUUGGGCUUUCAGAAUCCUCAGAGAUGCAAUUCAUGGAUCCCUCUAAGAAAUGCAAGCUUGAUGAAAAUGGUAUUAUUUCAACGGCAUCAGAACCUGACCCAAUCACCAAACUAACCCCACAAGAUGGCCGCAAGCUAAUCGAGCAAUUUAUCGUCGAUCAACUCCUUGACGUCCUCCAAGAUGCUGUUUGUUGUCACCUUGAUGUUCUUUCCGCCGUACACUCUAUUGCCGAUCAAGAUCCAUCUCAAAGGAAGCUUUUCAUCCGUGGUUGGGUUGGGAUACUACAACCCAACCCAACCCACAUUAGCAUACUACCAUGCGGUAACUUCUAGUGAUUUCUGUCUGUAACAUUAGACAGGUUAACAGUUAAAUCGUUCAACUGAAAGAUUUCUUUGAAGGAAGAGGUCAAUUGAUUUUUUUUGGAAUCAUUGUGUACUCAGUUGCAUUUAAGACGGGUAUCAUUCAUAAAGUAUAUAUCUACAUCAAGAAUGGUAGCCUCUUAUAUUAUAUUCAUGUAUUUAUUUUGCAUCUUUAAUUAUAAUAGGAUUUUUUUUGUUUAUUUAUAGUUUUAAUUAUAAUAUUUUUUAAAUAUGCCAAAGUAAAUUAUGUACCAAUUUUAAACUUCUCCUAGGUAAUUUAACGUAAGGGCAUUUAUGUUAUUUUACCACUUAUGAUAAAACUAACCUAAUUUUAGAUCUAAGUGUUUACCAACCUUCUUUUAGUCAAAUUAUGCAAGCCUAAAAUUUUUAGCUUAAUUUGAGUUUGUUUACUAUGUCUAAUUCAAGUUUUAUUAUUAAGAACUAAAUUGUAACUUAAACAAAUUAGAAUACCAAUUUAAAGAGACAAAAAUUCAAAGCCCCAAAACCCACACGGGCAUGUGGGUAAGUGACACAGGCGUGUGGAAACUGGAGCUAUCACACACGGGUGAGUGGGACUGAAAAAUAUGAAAUAAAUUAAUCCAUUUAAAUUUCCAACAACCAUGCUAUACUACCAAACCAAAUAAUGUUAGAAGCUUUGAAUAGGGGCGAAUCUUAAAAAAAAAUAGAAGAAUUAGAAUUAAAUUAUAAAAUUUUGAGAAGUUGUCAUGUAUUAAUUUAUUAUUUUUUAAAGGGUCUUAAUAGAUUUUUUUUCCCCAUUUUGGUUUGGCCAAUACCCCUGUCUGCCUCUUUCAAUUUGCUUCAACCCUUAGCCCAAUAUUCGAUUUGUUGUGGAAGUUUGACGCAUAAAAAUUCCUUUUUUAGAGGUUUAAAUUAUAAAUUUUUAUUAACAAAAUAUAAAAGAAAAAAACAUGUGUAGACAAGCCAAGAAACCUUUGGGAUCAUACAGGUGAUUUUGAGAUGUUCAUGGUUAUUUUGGUGGAGAGGGUAAAAAAGAAACAAAUGAUUCAUUAUAUAUGAUAUAAUUAUGAAAUUCAAGCCAUAUAUUGUAUGUUUCAUCCAUACAAAUUUCUUGUAGCAUUAAAUGACUCGUAGGCUUGCUGAAUUUCUUUGAAAGGCCCAAAGGCAAUUUAACAUUCACAAAAUAAUCUCUAAAUAGUGUAAAGACAAAUCAAAUCCACAGUAGCAUUAGAGUUGAUUAAGCUAAGCAUUGGCAAAUAUUACUUUGAUUUUGCAUGCAAUAUUGGCAAAACCCCCUCUUACAUUAGAAAAACAACAUAAUCCAUGAAACAUUGAUAGCCCAAUACAAAUUUCAUCGAGAAAAAAGUCUCUUUGUUUUGUAGAACAUGAUAGUAAAGAUGUGGAGUUUCGUUCUUCUUAUUGGCCUCCUUUAGUUUUCCUUGAUCAACAACCACUAGCCAAAAACACAAUUAGAUUAGAUUAUGAAUGAUACUUUCAACUAUGACAAUAUUAAAUACAAACCACUCUAAAUAACUCUAAAUAAAUGGAAAGCAGCAAAUUACCAGACGAGGCAAGCUAGCUCAAUUAAGACCAUUGUGUUAUACUUGUCUCUGAAUUGAAAAAUUUAGAAGGAAAUAAAGAGAAAGACUUAGAAAAUACUUGAAAACAGAAAAAAAAAUUAUGUCAUUUAAAAUAAAAAAUUUCUAUUCAAGCCAUUUAAAAUUUGUAAGAUUUUUAAAAUUUUAAAAUGAUAAAGGUAAAAUUGUACUUUGGCACCCCAAAAAUGAUAAAACUUUGAUUUAAUUAUUUAAAAAUUAUAAAAAUAUAGGCUAUUAAAAUGGUGAAAUUAUAUUUUUACUAUAGUAAAAAUUACAAUUUAAUUUCACCCCUAAAAGGAUUUUCUGGCUUCGCACCUAAUAAAAUCUUUGGCAAAAGACUAAAAUAAAAUUAUACCAUGAAUGGAAAAAGAAACUAAUAAAAUCCAAUCUAACAAAGAAAAUAACUUGAUGUCCAAAAGCUACCAUAAACCGUAAUUCAUGGGAAGGCUUGUUGCUUAUUUUAUUGGUUUCCAUUUUGAAAGAAGUUUGAAUUUUGAAGAGAGCCUACUACGUGAAAGCAAAAGAAAAAAAAAUAGUUUAUAUGAUUAAAAUUCCAGAAUAGAUUAAAAAUGUUGAAUUAAAGAUAAAAUUAAGUGUGAAUUAAUAACCACAAGUGUACUCUUUACUCACCAUCUCUGUUAAAAAUGUUGGAUGUUGUUUAGCAACCUUUGUUUGAUUUUCUUCAGCUCAACCACAACAUCUUUCAUAUCUUUUCUUUCUUCUGGUAACUCAGCUGAACAAUUCAAAGCCAACUCCAUGAUAGAUGAAAUACAAUUUGCUUUAACAACAAUGUACUCAUCCUCUCUUCUUAAUAAAUCAACAUCUGCAAUUUCUAUCGCUCCUUUAGGCAAUGAUCUUUCCAUCCAAUGCCUUAUACUCUCUUCUUCAACAAAAACCUUAUCAGUUGGCUUUUUCUUUGUGAAAGUUUCUAUAAGGACGAUCCCAUAACUAUAGACGUCAGAUUUUAUAGAAACAAUUCCUGCUGAUCCAAAUUCUGCAUUUCAAGUAUAAUUAGAACAUCAUUCAUCCUCAAUUAUUUCUAAAACGCUUAUUCAAAUAUCUAUCCACAUACACGUGAAACAAAAAUAUAAAAUACAAAUUAGGAAAAUAAUCAUACAAAAAUAAAAAAAAGAAUUCACCUGGUGCCAUAUACCCAAUAGUUGCAAGAGUCAUGGUUUGCUUCAUUACUUCACCUUCUCCCAACAAUUUGGCAACGCCAAAAUCUCCAACAUGUGCAACCAUGUCUUCAUCUAGUAAAAUAUUGCUUGGUUUUAUGUCACAAUGAAUUAUAGGUGUUGGAUGUCCAUUGUGGAGGUGUUCUAUAGCUACCGCAACAUCUAUCAUUAUGUCGACCCUUUGUAUGAUACCAAGGAAACAAUUUUCAGAAUGUAACCAUUUCUCAAGGUUUCCAUUAGACAUGUAAUCAAGCACCAAGGCUUUGAAGUCAACACUUGAGCAGUAAGUAAUGACCUUCACAAUAUUACGAUGAACUAUAUUAAGCAUAGCAUCACAUUCAAUGUCAAAACUCCUAAAUGCUCCCUCUGUUUGCAAAUUGAAAACUUUUAUUGCAACUUCCAUUCCAUCUGAAAGCCUCCCUUUAUAUACAUAUCCAAAACUCCCUGAACCAAGCGUAUUGCUUUCCUCAAAUCCAUUAGUUGCUCGUGAAAGUUCAGCAUGUGAAAUUCUUCUCAGUGUCUUCAAAGACAACAAAUCAUCUUUAACUGGUAGAGCUGUACUCCUUUGGCAUCUUCUAUACAUAAUAGUUAAGACUAUUAGUACUAGGACAAUACCAAUUGUUGGUAAACCAUACCUAAAAGCAUGCAAUAUAAUCAUUUGGGAGUUUUUGUGGAUGUCAUUUUUGCAAGGUGGGACUAGCAAUCUAGGUGGACCACAAAGUGCACAAUUAUUCAUGAAUGAUGUGCUAGAAAAGUUUGAAAAACAUCCUUUGCUGGGAAUUUCCCCUUCAAGUCUAUUGAAAGACACAUUAAAAUACUUUAGAUAUAAAAGCUUUUCCAAAGAUUUGGGAAUGACUCCAGAGAGAUUGUUAUUGCAUAAAUCCAAGAAUUCCAAACUAAUCAACCCUUCAAAUGAUUCAGGGAUAUGACCAUAUAGUAUGUUAUUUGAUAAAUCUAAUGAAACCAAAGUUAUAAGACCCCCAAAUGUGGAUAAGAUAUCGCUCGUGAGAAGAUUCCUUGAUAAAUUUAGUCUCAGUAGACUCCUAAAAUUUCCAACAUCAAUAGCAUGUGAAUUGUGAAGACGGUUUGAUGAUAAAUCUAUUUCUAAGAUAUCUUUAAGACUCCACAAAGUUGAGGGUAUUGUAGAACUCAAUUUGUUGGAACCUAACCAAAGAUAUCUCAAAGCAGAAAUAUUACCUAAACAAGAGGGUAUGGAUCCAUGCAGCUUAUUCAACCCUAAAUACAUCUCGUAUAGUCUCUCCAAACCACAAAGGCUUUCUGGGAUAGGCCCUCCUAAUUUAUUAGAGGAAAGACCUAGAAUUUGGAGAUUUCUCAUUCCUCCUAUUGAUGCUGGAAUCAAUCCACUUAAUUUAUUAUACCCAAGAUCUAAAAGCAAUAGGUUGGUUAAGUUACCUAUUUCCAUAGGAAUAAUGCCUUGAAGCUCACACUCUGUGGCAUGAAAGUAUUGAAGGGAUUUUGAAAGGUUCCCGAAAUAAGUAGGAAGAACGCCACUCAAUGGAUUUCCUGAAACAUCUAUUAUGCUCAAAUUCCUACAAUUCGUCAAAGAAGAAAGAAAGCUCCACUCAUGAUCAGUAGCAGAUCCUGUGAUCAAAUUAUUGUCAUAGAUUUGGAGCCAUACAAGUUGUCUUAAGCUGCCAAGCGUUUUAGGGAUUGGGCCAGAGAAUGAGUUAUCUCCCAAGUCUAGUUCCUUAAGCAUGGAAGCAUUGGAGAUAGAGUUGGGAAUGUUUCCGCUAAGUUUAUUUCCCCACAGUAAAAGAAUCUGAAGCUUUGGAGCAUUGGUAAUGGGUGGUAAAUUACCUGUAAAAUAGCAUCUUUUAGAAAACAUUCACAAAAUAUAUAAUACAUUAAAAUAAAAACUUUAAAUCAAUUAAGAAUAAAAUUUUGGCAUGGAAAAAUGUGAUGAAAUCAAUUAGAAAGUUGAGACAUAAUAAGAAGUUUUGAGUAGUAAUUAGUCCUUGUGAUUUGUAUAGACAAAACAUAUAAUACACUGAUAAUUUUUUUAAAAUAUUGUAAAACCUGAAAUAAAAUAAAAAAUAAAAGUUUGGCACGAGAAUGUGGCAUCUAAUCAUUCUUAAAAAUAAGACUAACAUUAAAUAAUAAUUAGUUAUGAUUUGAGAAACAAAAAUGUUAAAGAUGUAAACUGGUAUGAUUUUUAUCUAUUGGGUUAAUUAUUUAUUUUUAUUAAAUUAUAUAUAGUGUAAAAUUUAAAGAUUAUUAUUUGCUCAAAAUUUUUGUAUUUUAGGAUUUUAGGAUCGCAUUUAAUUCAAUUGUAUUUAAGACCUCAUGAAUUUAUUCUAUAAUUUGAGUCUUUUCAACCUUUUGGGAAAUAAUAAAACAUCGACAUUAAACUUGUUGUUGAUGCAUUCAAUUUGAUUUUUUGAGGGGUCAUUGGAGUUAUAUGUGAAUUUAGCAUUGAUUGACUUUUUUAGAAUUAAUCUUUUAUACCAAUUUAAUAACAUCGACAUGUUUUUGGGUAGGGUCGAGCAAAACCCAAUUAAAACCGAUGAAAUUGGUUUAGUUAACUCGGUCAAGUCCAUUAGAUGGAUAAAAUCAAUUUUAAAAUCAGUUAUUAUGGAUUAAGGUAAUUAAUUAUCGAGUAAUGAAAUACAUAAUCAAAUCAAUUGAUUUUGUUAGAAACUAAAAGAAAGUGGGAUAAGCUGAAAACUGAUUGCCCUUUUUUAGAAUUAAGGAAUCAGCCUUUUACAUGUUAGAUAAUAUGAACACCCCAUAUAUAAUAAGAAAAAUUAUGUACGAUUAUUUAUUAUCAUAAAUGGUUAGUUUAAAUUUAAAGUAAUCUAAUAUGUGUGUUGAACUUCAACUAUUACAUAAAGUAUAAGCUAAAUAUGUAUAAAUAUUCUAGAAACCAUUUCUAACUGAUGAUAGGCUAAUUUGAAAUUAAGAUUAAUAUAUAAAAACUAGAUAGUAGGGUUAUAGUCCUCAAACUACACCUAAUUUAAUAAAAUCUAUAGUUUUUAUAGCCUUAAACAUUUAUAGAUUUUGUUAAUUUGGUCCUUACUCUUUAAAAUUACAUAAAAAUUGCAAAAAUAUUUUAGAAAUACAAUUUUUUCGUAUUUUUAAUAACAUUUAUAGUUUUUUUUUUGGUUUGGUAACUUAUCAACUCGACUCUUAAUUGUAACCAACUUUUCUGAUUUUUUCGUACCCUUAACCUAAGUCCCGUUACAACUUUCUAAAGACCUCUUGAUUGGUGUAUCAUCUCGAUUUGUUCUUAUAGUGGUGGGGAUUUGGUUUUCAAGCAAGCCUAUGCUAAUCACAUUUUUCGUUCAACUAUUGAGCACACAGUACUUGAACCUUAAACACUUUGAGUGCUUUGAGUGAAUCUUAGUUAGGGUAUUGAUUAUUGUUGAGUUUGAAUUUUAGGUAAUUAUUGAGAUGGAGGAGAUGCCUAUUUUUUUGUGCUUUACAAAUUUCUGCUUAGAUUGCUUUUAUUCUUUAGUUUCAUGCUAGUUUCAAUUUCCAGUGCAUGAUUAUCUAUAGAUUAUUCAUAAGGCAUUGUCGGUGAAAACAAUAAAUUGAGGGAGAUUAACUUGAAAUAAAUUGAGGGAUAUUAACUUGAAUAAAGGUUGAGAAUUUUGCUUAAGGACAAACAAAUGCUUAAGUGUGGGGAUAUUUGAUAAGUGCUAAAAUUGAUAUGUUUUAACAUCAUUCUUAAUGUGUUUUUGGUUGAUUAUUCGAUGUUAAUGAUGCUCCUAAUCCUUACAAUUCGUGUUUUUAUGCUUAAUAGAACAUUUGGGAGGAAAAUGAGCUAAAAAUGAACGAAAACCUGAAAAUGGGGGCAAACUAUAGGACAUGGGCUGACCUAUUCCUCAUGACCGUAUGACUCACACGAUCAUGUGGUAGGUUGUGUCGAUUUCGUAGAUUUGCACUCUGAACUGUAAAAAAAGAAAAUUUUAGAUUUUUUGAGCAUUUUAAUACGUAUAUAUGAAAAAAAUAAGAAGAUAGGAGAGAACCUUCCUAGAAUAUUUAAGAAAACAACUCCAAAGACACUAUUGAAGUCGACUCUGAAGCAAAUUUUCCUCAAGAUUGAAGAUUCCCAGUUGGUUUCUUAAGAGAUUAUCAUGAGUUUCUUUAUUUCUUCUGGUUAUACUGCCCUUUGGAUGUUUUUAUUUUUAAGCAUGAACUAAUUUUCUAAAUACCGAAUUAGAGAGAUGAACCCUAUGAUAGAUUGUGACACCCCAAACCCAACCGGAUAGACCCGCCCGAAUUCAAAGCAUUUCAUUAGCCACCUAAGUGACUCUCCAGCUAACGACCACCCAAGACACACCUCGACCUUAUAACACCUCAAUCUUAUCUAAUUACUAGUUAUUUAUUAAUGUAGAAGUAAAUUAAUAUGAGCCAAUUUUAAACUUUUUCUAGGUAAUUUAACCUAAAGGCAAUUUUGUCAUUUUACCACCUAAUGUAAAACUAACCCGAUUUUAGAUCUAAGUGUUUACUAACCUUCUUUUAGUCAAAUUAUACAAGCCUAAAAUUUUCAGCUUAAUUUGAGUCCGUUUACUAUGUCUAAUUCAAGUUUUAUUAAUAAGGACUCAAUUGUAACUUAAACAAAUUAAAAUACCAAUUUAAAGAGACAAAAAUUCAAAACUCCAAAACCCACACGGGCAUGUGGGUAAGUGACAAGGGCUUGUGGGAUUGAAAAAUAUGAAAUAAAUUAAUCCACUCAAUUUUCCAACAACCAUGCUAUACUACCAAACCAAAAAAACACUUGAAGUUUUGAAUAGGGGCGAAUCUAAAAAAAAUUAGAAGAAUUAGAAUUAAAUUAUAAAAUUUUGAGAAGUUAAAAUAUAAUUUUAUCAUGUAUUAAUUUAUUGUUUUUUAAAGGGUCCUAAUAUAAUUUUUUUCCCAUUUUGGUUGGGCCAAUACCCCUGCCUGCCUCUUUAAAUUUGCUCCAACACUAAACCCAAUAUUCGAUUUGGAUUAACAACAACAUAUAGGUUAGUAUUUGUGGGAGUUUGACGAAUAAAAAUUCCUUUUUUAGAUGUUUAAAUUAUAAAUUUUUGAAAGAUUAAAAUAAAUUUGUAUUUUUUUAUUAACAAAAUAUAAAAGAAAAAAAAAUAUGUUUAGACAAGCCAAGAGAACUUUGGGAUCAUACAGGUGAUUUUGAGAUGUUAAUGGUUAUUUUGGUGGACAGCGUAAAAAAGAAACAAAUGAUUCAUUAUAUAUAAUAUAAUUAUGAAUUUCAAGCCAUAUAUUGUAUGUUUCAUCCAUAAAAAUUUCAUGGGAGGUCCAAAGGUAAUUAAAUGACUUGUAGGCUUGCUGAAUUUCUUUGAAAGGCCCAAAGGCAAUUUAACAUUCACAAAAUAAUCUCUAAAUACUGUAAAGACAAAUCAAAUCCACAGUAGCAUUAGAGUUGAUUAAGCUAAGCAUUGGCAAAUAUUACUUUGAUUUUGCAUGCAAAAUUGGCAAAACCCCCUCUUACAUUAGAAAAACAACAUAAUCCAUGAAACAUUGAUGGCUCAAUACAAAUUUCAUCGAGAAAAAAGUCUCUUUGUUUUGGAGAACAUGAUAGUAAAGAUGUGGAGUUUCGUUCUUCUAAUUGGCCUCCUUUAGUUUUCCUUGAUCAACAACAAUUAGCCAAAAACACAGUUAGAUUAGAUUAUGAAUGAUACUUUCAACUAUGACAAUAUUAAAUACAAAACACUCUAAAUAAAUGGAAAGUAGCAAAUUAAGACCAUUGUGUUAUACUUGUCUCUGAAUUGAAAGAUUUAGAAGAAAAUAAAGAGAAAGAGUUAGAAAAUACUUGAAAACAGAUAAAACUUAUAUGUCAUUUAAAAUAAAAAAAAUUUCUAUUUAAGCCAUUUAAAAUUUUUAAGAUUUUUUAAAUUUUAAAAUGAUAAAGGUAAAACUAUAUUUUGGUACCCAAAAAUGAUAAAACUUUGAUUUAAUUCUUUAGAAAUUAUAAAAAUAUAGGCUAUUAAAAUGGUGAAAUUAUAUUUUUACUAUAUUAAAAAUUACAAUUUAAUUUCACUUGCUAAAAGGAUUUACUGGCUUCGCCCCUAAUAAAAUCUUUGGCAAAAGAUUAAAAUAAAAUUAUACCGUGAAUGGAAAAAGAAACUUAAGAAAACCCAAUCUCACAAAGAAAAUAACUUGUCCAAAAGCUACCAUAAACCGUAAUUCAUGCGAAGGCUUGUUGCUCAUUUUAUUGGUUUCCAUUUUGAUUUUGCAAAAGAAGUUUGAAUUUUGAAGAGAGCAAAAGAAAAAAAUAGUUUAUUAAUUUUUUACGAAUACCGACAUAUUAUAUACAUGAUUAAAAUUCCAGAAUAGAUUAAAAAUGUUGAAUUAAAGAUAAAAUUAAGUAUGAAUUAAGAACCACAAGUGUACUCAUUACUCACCAUCUCUGUUAAAAAUGUUGUUUAGCAACCUGUGUUUGAUUUUCUUCAGCUCAACCACAACAUCUUUCAUAUCUUUUCUUUCUUCUGGUAACUCAGCUGAACAAUUCAAAGCCAAUUCCAUGAUAGAUGAAAUACAAUUUGCUUUAACAACAAUGUACUCAUCCUCUCUUCUUAGUAAAUCAACAUCUGCAAUUUCUAUUGCUCCUUUAGGCAAUGAACUUUCCAUCCAAUGCCUUACAGUCUCUUCUUCAACAAAAACAUUAUCAGUUGGCUUUUUCUUUGUGAAAGUUUCUAUAAGGACGAUCCCAUAACUAUAGACGUCAGAUUUUAUAGAAACAAUUCCUGCUGAUCCAAAUUCUGCAUUUCAAGUAUCAUUAGAACAUCAUUCACCCUCAAUUAUUUCUAAAAUGCUUAUUCAAAUAUAUAUCCGCAUACACAAGAAACAAAAAUAUAAAAUGCAAAUUAGGAAAAUAAUCGUACAAAAACAAAAAAGAAUUCACCUGGUGCCAUAUACCCGAUAGUUGCAAGAGUCAUGGUUUGCUUCAUUACUUCACCUUCUCCCAACAAUUUGGCAACGCCAAAAUCUCCAACAUGUGCAACCAUGUCUUCAUCUAGUAAAAUAUUGCUUGGUUUUAUGUCACAAUGAAUUAUAGGUGUUGGAUGUCCAUUGUGGAGGUGUUCUAUAGCUACCGCAACAUCUAUCAUUAUGUCGACCCUUUGUAUGAUAUCAAGGAAACAAUUUUCAGAAUGUAACCAUUUCUCAAGGUUUCCAUUAGACAUGUAAUCAAGCACCAAGGCUUUGAAGUCAACACUUGAGCAGCAAGUAAUGACCUUCACAAUAUUACGAUGAACUAUAUUAAGCAUAACAUCACAUUCAAUGUCAAAACUCCUAAAUGCUCCCUCUGUUUGCAAAUUGAAAACUUUUAUUGCAACUUCCAUUCCAUCUGAAAGCCUCCCUUUAUAUACAUAUCCAAAACUCCCUGAACCAAGCAUAUUGCUUUCCUCAAAUCCAUUAGUUGCUCGUGAAAGUUCAGCAUGUGAAAUUCUUCUCGGUGUCUUCAAAGACAACAAAUCAUCUUUAACUGGUAGAGCUGUACUCCUUUGGCAUCUUCUAUACAUAAUAGUUAAGACUAUUAGUACUAGGACAAUACCAAUUGUUGGUAAACCAUACCUAAAAGCAUGUAAUAUAAUCAUUUGGGAGUUUUUGUGGAUGUCAUUUUUGCAAGGUGGGACUAGCAAUCUAGGUGGACCACAAAAUGCACAAUUAUUCAUGAAUGAUGUGCUAGAAAAGUUUGAAAAACAUCUUUUGCUGGGAAUUUCCCCUUCAAGUCUAUUGAAAGACACAUUAAAAUACUUUAGAUAUAAAAGCUUUUCCAAAGAUUUGGGAAUGACUCCAGAGAGAUUGUUAUUGCAUAAAUCCAAGAAUUCCAAACUAAUCAACCCAUCAAAUGAUUCAGGGAUAUGACCAUGUAGUAUAUUAUUUGAUAAAUCUAAUGAAACCAAAGUUUGAAGACCCCCAAAUGUGGAUAAGAUAUCGCCCAUGAGAAGAUUCCUUGAUAAAUUUAGUCUCAGUAGACUCCUAAAGUUUCCAACAUCAAUAGCAUGUGAAUUGUGAAGAUGGUUUGAUGAUAAAUCUAUUUCUAAGAUAUCUUUAAGAUUCCACAAAGUUGAGGGUAUUGUAGAACUCAAUUUGUUGGAAUCUAACCAAAGAUAUCUCAAAGCAGAAAUAUUACCCAAACAAGAGGGUAUGGGUCCAUGCAGCUUAUUCAACCCUAAAUACAUCUUGUAUAGUCUCUCCAAACCACAGAGGCUUUCUGGGAUAGGCCCUUCUAAUUUAUUAGAGGAAAGAUCUAGACCUUGCAGAUUCCGCAGUCCUCCUAUUGAUGCUGGAAUGAAUCCACUUAAUUUAUUAUGGUCAAGUUCUAAAACCAAUAAGUUGGUUAAGUUACCUAUUUCCAUAGGAAUAAUGCCUUGAAGCUCACAAUUAUAGGCAUGAAAGGAUUGAAGGGAUUUUGAAAGGUUCCCAAUAUAAGUAGGAAGAACGCCACUCAAUGGAUUUCCUGAAACACCUAUUUUUCUCAAAUUCCUACAAUUCGUCAAAGAAGAAAGAAAGCUCCACUCAUGAUCAGUAGCAGAUCCUGUGAUCAAAUUAUUGUCAGUGAUUUUGAGCACUUCAAGGUGUUUUAAGCUGCCAAGCAUUUUAGGGAUUGGGCCAGAGAAUGAGUUAUCUUCCAAGUCUAGUUUCUUAAGCAUGGAAGCAUUGGAGAUAGAGUAAGGAAUGUUUCCGCUAAGUUUAUUUCCCCACAGUAAAAGAAUCUGAAGCUUUGGAGCAUUGGUAAUGGGUGGUAAAUUACCUGUAAAAUAGCAUCUUUUAGAAAACAUAUUCAUUGAAUACCAAAUUCACAAAAUAUAUAAUACAUUAAAAUUAAAACUUUAAAACUUUAAAUCAAUUAAGAAUAAAAUUUUGGCAUGGAAAAUUGUGAUGAAAUCAAUUAGAAAGUUGAGACAUAAUAAGAAGUUUUGAGUAGUAAUUACUCAUGAUUUCCAUAGACAAAACAUAUAAUACACUGAUAAUUUUUUUAAAAAUAUUGUAAAACCUGAAAUAAAAUAAAAAAUAAAAGUUUGGCAUGAGAAUGUGGCAUCUAAUCAUUCUUAAAAAUAAGACUAACAUUGAAUAAUAAUUAGUUAUGAUUUGAGAAACAAAAAUGUUAAAGAUGUAAACUGGUAUGAUUUUUAUCUAUUGGGUUAAUUAUUUAUUUUUAUUAAAUUAUAUAUAGUGUAAAAUUUAAAGAUUAUUAUUUGCUCAAAAUUUUUGUAUUUUUCGUAUAUUUGAAAUUUAAUCUUUAUAUUUUUUAUUUUCUGUGAUUUAGUCUCUCUACUUUUUGAAUUGAAAAUUUUAAGUUUAUUUAUUAACACUGUUAAAAAGUUUUUGUGUUAGUAUGGCAUUUUGAAAAAUAAAAUAAACUUGAUAUCUAUGUUUUUAAUUAUUCCAAAUACUGUUUUACUAUUCCAAGAUAAAUUAUUUGUGUCUAGACCAAUAUCUUAAGAACUAUUGUUGCAUGUUUAAUUAUUCUAAAGAAUUGUUGAUUGAGUCUUAGUUGAAGUGCACUAUUCUCCUAUUUAUGAAUUGGGGAGUUGAUAAAGUACUAAAUUUUGAUAUAUUUUAAAAAAUUAAAAAUUUAUUAAAAUAUUUUUAUAAAAAUUAAUUGUACCAAAAUAUACAAUUUUAAUAUCAAAUUUUUAAUUUUUUUAAAAAUAUUAGCGAAUAUAUACUUUAUUUCAAGUUACACAAUUUUUACUAGUUUUUAACUUUUUUUUUAAAUUUUUAUCGUCUUUUAUAAUUUCAUAUAUUUUUUUAUAAUUUUUUACAAUAUUUACAAUUUCUAACAAUUUUUAAUAAUUUUAUUAUUUAUUAUAAAUUUAAAAAUUAACAAAUUUUUAUUUUUUUAAAACAAUUAUAUAUUUAUAAUGUAGUUAUUUUUUUAUAAUUUUUUUUGAAAUUUAAAGAUUUUUUUGGUUUUUUCUAGAUGAUGAUGCCAUCAUGAUGUCAUCAUAUGCCACAUGGCAAUUUAUAAUUAGUUGACUAUCUCAAUCUAUUUUUUUAACGUCCAAUGGACUAAAACAAGAACACCUGAUAAUGUUAGAGACUACACUAGGAAUGUUUGAUAAUAUUAGGUACUAAAGUGGGCAAAAAAAAUUAAGGACUAUAUUAAAAAUAUAUCUAUAAUAUAUAUAAAUGCAUGGAUUUUGAGAAACUUUUGAAAUGACAAAUAUAUAGUCUUUGUUUUUUUUUACUAUAUUAUUGAAUUUUUUAUUUUAAAUAUUUUUUUAUUACUUUUAAGAUUUAUCAUAUGUAUGGAUAAAAAUUUUGGUUUUACUAAAAUAUUUGGUUAAAUAAAUUCACUUUAUAAAAAAAUUUAGCAUCCUUAUAAAUAACAAUUUUGAUUCCAUUAAAAAAAUUAUUUAAAAAUAUAUAAUAAAAAUUUAAAAUUUAUAUUGAAUCACUUUAUACUUAAAUUAUUAUUAGAAACUUUAUCAUACACAUAUGUGUAUGAGAACCACGUUUUCAGAACUUAAAUUUGUGUUCUAAAAUAACUUAUGAUAAAUAAUUAAAUGUAUAAUUUGAAAUUAUAUUGAAAUAAAAAUAGAUUAAAUUGUAAGUAAAACAUAUAUAAUUUAAACAUAUGAAUACAUCAAAUUAAAAAUACUAAAUGAAUACAUUUAUUUAUGAUGAUGUUGUUGUCAAUUCAUAAGUUGGUGUCGAGUUAAUUUGUGACAUCAUAAUUUUAAGUGAUAAAUUUAAGGUUUUAUGUAUUGAUGUCGAUUCAAAUAUCACCAUAAUUUUUUUAAAUAAAAAACUAAAGCACCCUCAAAUAAUAUAACUUAUAUUAAAUAUGAAAGGGUAUUUUUGUAAUUUCUCUAACGAGUUGGUGCCCGGUUGACUCAUGACACCAACUCAAUCAAAAGCUUCAAUAAUAAUAUAGAUAUUCACGUUUAAAAAAAGUACUUUAGUUCGAAAUAAUUAUGUAACAAGUAAUUUUAUAAUUGAUGAAUAAUUUUAUAAAAAUAUAUUUAUAUGAUCUAAUAUAUUAUAUUUAUAUUAAUUAUAUAUCAUCUACAAACUUUGAAGAUCAAUUUAUUAAGUAUCAGGAAAAGAAAAAAUGAAAUUGAAUUAACACUAAAUCAAUUUUUAGAUUUUGUACAGAUGAUUUAAUGAUGAUAAAAACAUUAUUAGCACUAUUUUUGAAUUAACAAAAAAUUAGUGAUAUAUUUUAAUUAUAUUUUUUAUUUUUUAUUUUUAAUAAUAUUUUUUUAAUUAUAUGAAGUAAAAUUAUAUUGUAUACUAAAUAUGGUACAUAUACUUUAAUUAAAACUUGAAAAAGUAUUAUAUAAAUUAAUAUAUUUUAAUUAUAUUCAACCAUUUGAAUAACAAAAUUAAAAAAAAACUAAUUAGAAUUAUUUACUUUUUAAAGUUUAAUGGAAAAUAAAAAAUAAAAAAUAAAUCAAUUCAUAUAAAUCUUAUUGUUUAUUAUCAGAUUAAAAUGAUAAAAGUAUAUGACAUACAUAGAAGAAACAAAUUCAACACCAUGUUUUUGGAGUUUGGAAAAAAUUAAAGUGAAAAACCUACCUUCUAAACUGUUGUUAAAUAGAUCUAUUUCUUCGAGCGUAGUUGAAUUAAAAAUACUUGAUGGAAUCUGACCUGCACACAUAGUCGAAAAUUGAAGUGAAAUCAAACUCUUUUGUGAAAAAAAUAUUACCAGAUAAUUCAUUCCAACCCAGGUAAAGCCCUUCAAGCUUGGGAAGAUGUUGACACAUAUCAUUAGGCAAACUACCUGAUAGGCUAUUGUUGGAGAGAUUAAUGGUCUUCAAAGAAGAAAUGUUGAAGAUCGAAGUUGGAAUCUGACCUAUAAGGCCUUUAAUUGCUCUAAUACUAAGCCUUUCCAAACUAAGAAGAUUACCAAUUUCCUUAGGAAUUAGACCUGCAGACAGUCGAAAAUUCAAUGUUUUUCAGCAUAUGUUUUUCAUCAAAUGAAAUAAAAAGUUCUUCCUUUUGUUAUCUAUUACAAAUCAAACUCUUUUAUAAAAAAAAUACUUUAAAUUCAAGAAAUCAAGGAAAUUGAUUACCUUCUAGAUUAUUAAACCCCAAAUAUAAUUCUUGGAGUCGUGUUAGAUUUCCAAUACUUCUUGGAAUGAUCCCCAUAAAUUGAUUAUAGGACAACGACAAAAUAUUAAGGUUGUUGCAUUUGCCCAUGCCAAAUGGAAUGUUACUAGAAAACUCAUUGCUAUCCAAGUAAAGCCCUUCAAGCUUGGGAAGAUGUUGACACAUAUCAUUAGGCAAACUACCUGAUAGGUUAUUGUUGGAGAGAUCAAUGGUCUUCAAAGAAGAAAUGUUGAAGAUCGAAGUUGGAAUCUGACCUGUAAAGCCUUUAAUUGCUUUAAUAUUAAGCAUUUCCAAACUAAGAAGUUUAAAUCAAUUAAGAAUAAAAUUUUGGCAUGGAAAAAUGUGAUGAAAUCAAUUAAAAAGUUGAGACAUAAUAAGAAGUUUUGAGUCGUAAUUAGUCCUUCUGAUUUGUAUAGACAAAACAUAUAAUACACUAAUAAUAAUUAGUUUGGCAUGAGAAUGUGGCAUCUAAUCAAUCUUAAAAAUGAGAUGACACUGAAUAAUAAUUAGUUAUGAUUUGGGAAACAAAAAUGUUAAAGCCAUUGCUUUUAAUGUAAACUAGUAUGAUUUUUAUCUAUUGGGUUAAUUAUUUAUUUUUAUGAAAUUAUAGUGUAAAAUUUAAAGAUUAUUUUUAUCUAUUACAAAUCAAACUCUUUUAUGAAAAAAAUAUUUUAAAUUAAAGAAACAAAGAAAAUUCAAUAUCUUCUAAGUUAUUCCACUCCAAAUAUAAUCUUCAGUGAAGAAAUCUUGAAGAUGGAAGAUGGAACCUUACCAGAUAAUUGAUUGAAUCCCAAGCUCAAGGACUCUAGAUUAGACAUGUUAACAAGUGUUUCAGGGAUUGUGCCUAUAAAGUUAUUAUUUUUCAUUUUCAGCCUUCGAACUCCCUGUAAGUUCCCAAGCCAUGAUGGAAUUUCCCCAUUAAGACUGUUGUAUUUUAAUCGAAGGAUCCUCAAACGAUGCAAUUGGCCCAAUUCUUUAGGGAGAUGGCCAUAGAAAUGGUUUCUACUCAAGUCGAGAGAGAGUAGAAAUGAAAGAUUUCCAAGGUGUGGAGGGAUACUACCCCUAAGAUUCAUGCUUUUAAGUUUGGAAACAAAUUCAACACAAUGUUUUUGGAGUUUGGAAAAAAUUAAAGUGAAAAACAUACCUUCUAAUUUGUUGUCAGAUAGUCCUAUUAUUUCGAGCAUAGUUGAAUUAAAAAUACUUGAUGGAAUCUGACCUGCACAUAUAGUUGAAAAUUGAAGUGAAAAACAUACCUUCUAAACUGUUCAACUAAAAAAACUUUAAGCAUAUUUGUUUUUCCAUCAAAUUAACUAUUUUGCCUUGAAUGAAAUAAAAUGCUCUUACUUUUGUUAUUUAUUACUAAUCAAACUCUUUUCUAAAAAAAAACUUUAAAUUAAGAAACUAAGAAAAUUCGGUACCUUCUAGGUUAUUAAACCCUAAAUAUAACUUCUGGAGUCGUGUUAGAUUUCCAAUACUUCUUGGAAUGAUACCCAUAAAUUGAUUAUAGGACAACGACAAAUUUUUAAGGUUGUUGCAUUUGCCCAUGCCAAAUGGAAUGUUACCAGAUAAUUCAUUCCAACUCAGGUAAAGCCCUUCAAGCUUGGGAAGAUGUUGACACAUAUCAUUAGGCAAACUACCUAGGUUAUUGUUGGAGAGAUCAAUGGUCUUCAAAGAAGAAAUGUUGAAGAUCGAAGUUGGAAUCUGACCUGUAAGGCCUUUAAUUGCUUUAAUAUUAAGCAAUACCAAAUCAAGAAUAUUACCGAUUUCCAAACCAAGAAUUUAUAGAAGAAACAAAUUUAACACAAUGUUUUUUGAGUUUGGAAAAUGUUAAAGUGAAAAACAUACCUUCUAAUUUGUUGUCAGAUAGUCCUAUUAUUUCGAGCAUAGUUGAAUUAAAAAUACUUGAUGGAAUCUGACCUGCACAUAUAGUUGAAAAUUGAAGUGAAAAACAUACCUUCUAAACUGUUCAACUAAAAAAACUUUAAGCAUAUUUGUUUUUCCAUCAAAUUAACUAUUUUGCCUUGAAUGAAAUAAAAUGCUCUUACUUUUGUUAUUUAUUACUAAUCAAACUCUUUUCUAAAAAAAAACUUUAAAUUAAGAAACUAAGAAAAUUCGGUACCUUCUAGGUUAUUCAACCCCAAAUAUAAUUCUUUGAGUUGUGUCAGAUUUCCAAUACUUUUUGGAAUGAUCCCCAUCAAUUGAUUAUAGGACAAUGACAAAAUUUUAAGGUUGCUGCAUUUGCCCAUGCCAAAUGGAAUGUUACCAGAUAAUUCAUUCCGACUCAAGUAAAGCCCUUCAAGCUUGGGAAGAUGUUGACACAUAUCAUUAGGCAAACUACCUGGUAGGCUAUUGCUGGAGAGUUUAAUAAUCUUCAGAGAAGAAAUAUUGAAGAUGGAAGAUGGAACCUGACCAAAUAAUUGAUUGAAUCCCAAGUUCAAGAUCUCUAGAUUAGACAUGUUAACAAGUGUUUCAGGGAUUGUGCCUGUAAAGUUAUUAUUCUUCAUUUCCAGCCUUCGAACUCUCUGUAAGUUCCCAAGCCAUGAUGGAAUUUCCCCAUUCAGACGGUUGUAGCUUAAUUGAAGGAUCCUCAAACGAUGCAAUUGGCCAAAUUCUUUAGGGAGAUGGCCAUAGAAAUGGUUGCUACUCAAGUCGAGAGAGAGUAGAAAUGAAAGAUUUCCAAGGUGUGGAGGGAUAGUACCCCUAAGAUUCAUGCUUGUAAGAUUCAAAGCUAUAACUCUUUUAUGGAGGAUGCCACAAGAAACACCAAUCCAAUUGCAAACAGAGGUUGAGGCCGUCCAAUUGUUUGCCAAGACAUUUUGAGGACCGGCAAUGCGAUCCUUAAACUCGAGAAGUGCAAACUGAUCGGAGUUGAGAUUCCUGACUGUCAUACCCCAGCAAAGUCCGGAACAUGGUAUGAAUAAAGCUAAAAGAAGAUGAAAGCAAGUGUUGUAGUUCAUGAUAGCAAGACGGAAUAAGCCAAGAAAAUAAAAAAAAGUAGGACAAGGGAAGUUGAGUUGAUAAAAUAGUUUGGAUGAUGAAGAAAAGCCCAGAGAGCAUGCUUUAAUAUGUUUUGAAGAAAUUUCAAAAUAAAUUUCAAAAUAAAUUUCAAAAUAAAAAUUUAAAAAGGAAAGCAAAGUUUUGAAGAAAUUUCAAAAUAAAUUUCAAGUCUUCUUCUUUAAAAAAUACGUACAAAGAGCGAAUUUUCAAAAUUUUUCCUAAAUUUUCUUCACAUUACUCCACAUAAUCCAUUAAAAAAACUUAAAAAAUAUAUUUUAUUAAUUACUAUACAUUCUUUUAUUUUCAGAAUAAUAAAUUGUUUAAAAUUUGCUAUUAGUCCCUAUAAUUUAAAAGUUAAAAAAAAUUCAAUCCUCCUACUUUUCUAAUUUAAAAAUUUUAGUUCAAUCAAUUUUAAUUUUAAAAUCUCUGUAUAAAAGGUGUUUUUUUUGUGACCGAUCACACUUAACCAAUAUUUAAAAAUUAAUAAAAAAUAUUUUUUUUUGAAAUUUAAAGUGAUCUAAAAACAUAUUUUUAAGUGCUUUGGACCGUCUAUUGUUGAUUUCCUUAUUAUAUUAAGUGUUUGCAAUCACUCCUAAUAUAUUGUGCUUGAGUUGUGACAAAGCCGAUCAUCAAAUUGCCAUAAUGAUCUAUUGAUGCUGAAAUUGAAGUUUUUGUUAUAUUGAUAGAGCUUGUCCUUCAACGCGUACAACGUGUUUGUUAUUUUUCUCCCUUCAAAUUGUAUGAUCUUAUUCAUUAAAUGAAUUAAUGAAUUUCCCUUUUAAAAAGAUAUAUUUUUAAAAAUUAAAUACUUUAUAAAAUAUUUAAAAAUUUGUAAGCCUUAAAACAAUCAACAAAAUAUUUUUGAAAUUUUAUAAAUAUAUUUUAAAACUAUAGUAACGCUACAAAAUAUAUAUAUUUACUAAUUAUAUGCACCUUUUUUAUUUUUAUUUCCUAACAUAUCAUUAUUUUCAACACUAUCGUAAUCCUGUUUUGAUAAUUCCCUUUCCAUACAUCCUUUUUCUACAUAGAAUUUCAAAAGAAAAUGUGAAUUAAUGUAAACGUGAGAAGACUUAAUUACAUUUAUUAGUUUAUCAAUCAAAACUUAAUUAGAAUCCAUCAAUAUUUCACACAUCAAAAACCCAAACAUAAAAUUCACUUUUAAAUUAUUUGAAGAUACAUUUGUAUUAUAGGAAAUCGAUUAAAUUAGUCUUUUAUUAUUAAAUGUAUUAUUUUAAUCUUUGUAUUAGGUAUGAAUGAUAUCUCCUAAAUUGAAGCCAGAGCUAUUCUUGAAAGACUGAAAUUAGGAUUCAGAUGUGUUGAGAUGGAAAGUGACAACACAAUGUUGAUUGAAACUAUUUGUAACAGGUUGACUACAAUAAGUAGUGCUGCCGAAGUAAGACAGAUUCACGAUUGGUGUUCCAAAAAUUGGGAAGUCAAAUUUAGACAUAUUCAGCGGAAUGCCAAUAAAGUUGUUGAUUGCAUAGCUAAGGCAAAUGGAGGCGUAAUUGAGCAGCUGGUUAUCUUGGAAGAUCCUCUGCAUUAUGUGAGAUGGUAGCUUGAAGAAGAUAUUAGACAGUCACUAGUGACUGAUGAUAAUUUUCAUUUGGACUGAUGAGCGCUUAAUUUUCUAAGCUUAUGUUCAACAAAAAAAAUUUUAACUACGUUUAAAUUGUAAUAGAGUUAACAUUUAGUGUUUAAAAAAUAUCUUAAAAAUUAUUAUUUUUUCCAAUUGCAGUUCAAUUCCACAAAUAUCGACGAUGAAUCCGGACAUAAAAAUUAUAGAAAAAAAACACAUCUAUUAUCAAACCAACAAUCCAUGUCUAAACUUAAAUUAACAAAAUUUGCCACGCAACGCCCAGUACACUAUUAUAUAUAUACUAGAUUUAUUCUAGAUGCACAUGUUUUAUUAUAUUUAAAAUUUAAAAUAUAUGGUUGACUAAGUGUUAGUUGAGUUAGUAUUGCUAUUAUUGUCAGUGUAAGGAAAUGUGAGUUUAAUUGCGCUCAAAUGUGUUUUAUCCUCCAAUUCAAGGGUUAGGAAAAGGUUAUUGAUAAUUAAGUUAUACCAACUUUUAUGAUAUUAAAAAAAGGAUUUAUAAAUAAUAUAAGGAAAAGAAAGAAAGAGAAACAUAUUCAUAUUGAUGGGCUCUUUCAAUAUUAGACUUUUUUUUCUAUCACAAGUAAAAAUAUCAAAGGUGAUAAUAAUUAAAUUAUAAAAUUUAAAUUGAGAAAAUAGGGGAUUGAGUUUAUAAGUUUUAAAGUAUAAAGAAUGAAUAUAUAACUAACAACAUAUUUUAACCACAUAAUAAAAGUAGUUAUGGUAAAAUAAUGACCUGAAUAAUUUUAAACGUCUCAUCCUUGCAAAAAUGAAAUAAUAGAAAAGAAAUAAGUGUUGGGUGUAGUGGCAAUGUACAUCAUACUUCUAAGGGGAGAUUAGGGUUUUAGACAAGGGAAGAAUUUUAAACUUGCUCUUUUCUCUAGAACUCAACGCAAACCUCAAAUUUAUCUUUUUAAAAGAAUUUAAAAAUAUGUAUAUAAAAGGUGAUUUUUUUACCGAUCACACUUAACAAAAUUUUAAAAAAAAAUGAAAUUUAAAGUGAUCUAAAAACAUAUUUUUAAGUGCUUUAGACCAUCCUGUGCUGAUUUCUUUAGUAAUUUGAUUUGUUCAAUAUAGAUUUUGGUAACUUAAAACAAAAUUAAUAAAAAAUUAUUUUUUUAGAUAUCUUUUUAAUGUUUAAUAAUAAGUUAAUUUAUAAAAUAUACUUUCAUUGGACACAGGGCCUCCAAGGCGGUGAACCACUAAUCAAAUUAAUUUUGAGAUACUUAAAUUUGUUUUCAUCAAUUAAGAAAUUAAAAAAAUUGUUGAGACCUCAUGAUUAUGUUUUAUAAUUUCAGGCUUAUCAACUAUUUUGAAAAACAACAAAACGUCUUACACCAAAAACUAAAAAAUAAAAACGUCGACAUUAAAUUUGUUGGCAUGCAAUCAAUUUUAAGAUGGUUUUUGGAGUUAUAUAUCACCUUAGCAUUGACUUACUUUUCUACAGUUUGUCUUCUCCAACAAGUUAAAUAUUUCAAUUUUAACAACAUUGACAGGUCUUUGGGGUAGGGUCGAGCAAAAUUCAAUAAAAACAGAUGAUAUAAGUUGAGUUGGCUCGGCCAAGUCGAGUCGAUUUGUUCAAAUUAUUUAAAUUAGUAAAUUUUAGGGUGCAAUUAGAAUUUUUUGUUUUGAGAUGCUAAUUAGAUUAAAAAAUUUCAGUUGCUAAAACAAAAAAAUUGUAUUUAAAAAGGCAUAAAUUAAAUAAUUAAGUUUUUCGAGUUUCCAUUUAAUCAAAGGUUAAAAGGACUAAAUUGAAGCUUUUUAUUUUUAAGAAAGGCUGAAUGACAAAUUGCCCAAAGCCCAUGGCCCUAGCUAUACAACUAACUUUUCUAUGAUUAGUCCUUGGUUUGCUUUGGGUGAAAUCUUCCAACUAGCCUCAUCCUUGGUUUUACUUUCCAACAAUUAGUGUAUCGCGGGUUUUGUUUUCUUUAAAAAAUAUUUGUGGAUAUUAGGAGAUAAUGAAAAUUAUUUUACUAUGAAAUUUUAAUAAAACUGGAAAAUAAGUAAUUUAUUUUAAGAGAUCACAAUUAAACGUUAGAUUUCCCCUUUUUAAAUUAUAAAUUUUUUUUUGACAAUUGCAUAAUAUUUUGAGCGUUGUAGGAAUGCCAUAAUAUAACCUUCCCUACGCAUAAUCGACUCUUGAGCAUGAUGGAUCCUAGACCUUCUCCUCUAUUCUCGUACCACAAAUUGCUUCAAGUGUGGGUUCGAACAAUCACAAAUUAAACGCAAAACCAAAAAUGAUUUAUUACUUUCAAUAGCAAAGUAAUUCUCUCUCAAUAGAAACCAAUAGAAUUGUAAUUCCUAGAAAAUAAAAUUUAUUUUUUGAAAAUAUAUUCUCACUACUUUCUAGCAGAAUAACAAUAUGUGAAACUUAUGUCUUGUGUUAAUAGCUCUACCAGUACUAUCUAUUUAUAGGGAGAGACACGAGAAUCCUGGUUGAAUUAGUAAAACACGAAUAAUAUUUAUUUCAUAGAAAACAAUAUUCCACCCUAAGUAGAUCAAGUUUGUAUGACGCAUGGAUCAAAGCUCAAUCUAGGAGAAAAAAAACAAAGGAAUUUUCUUUGUAAAGAAAAUUUGAGAUUGUACUAUUUUCAAAGUUAUAAAUAAAAUUAUACGCCAAAUUUUCAAGUCAAUUUUCAACUCCAAUUUUGUAUGCACAAAUUUCUAAUACACUUGGUGGGACAUUCUUUGACUUUUAUCUAUUCUCUCAAAAAGUUAAAGUUCAAAGUUACAUUAAACUCAAAGAAGAUAUUCAUUAGUAAACCACCUCACAAGCCUGCUCAAGCUAAUCCUACAACUCGUUCCACUUCAUCAUCAAACACCAAUAUUCUUGCUUAUCCUUAUGGAAUUAAACAGUCUCAUUUUCUGCAUUUUGGGUACACACUUAGUUUUGUUUGAUGCUAAAACAGUCCCCGAGCACUCCAAAACCUAUAAUUGAACAAAUAAUACUAAUUUAAUCUUACAUAACAUGAUCCCAAAUUGAAAUUGUAUCGAGGUUUUAACCCAUAAGUGACUAAACCUUACCUUCAACCGAUGAACAGUAAUUCCCACACAAACUAAGACUCCAAUUGGAGAUUACGAGCCAUUGAAUCCUCCCCUAAUUGGCAUAAACAAAACACUUCAAAAGAAAGUUAACAAAUGGAGACAAAUCACUUAUCUAAAACUUACCGAACGAUCACAGAAAAACGUGGAGUGACACGAGGCAGAGUGGGAAAAGAAAAAUCAAGAGGAUGAAGGGUGAAAGAGAGCAAAAAUUCGGUAGCAAUGAAGAGAAAAACAGCAAGAAAGUGGAGGGAUUUUAGGGAAAGUAAAAAAAAAGAUGAAUAGAAUAUUUGAUAACUACCCAAUCCCUUAUUUCUCUCUAUCAAACUCCCCACUAAAUCCACUACUCGAAUUUUUAGUCCAUCUCAAACUCUCCUGGACGCACGAGCAAAAAAUAAUGACCAUGCCAAAAUUUAAACAAAAGACCUCCUUCACACCAACACUCCACUUAUCCACCAGACCAAUAGGCUCAUUCUUUUAAUUAUUUUCCAACUUUUACUUAAAAGCCUACUGACCAAAGAUAGGGCUUAUUCAUAAAAAUACCAAAUUUUGCCCAAGACCUGGCUUGAACUUGGGACCUCUCAAACACACCCAGAACACAUAACCACUAAAGCAGACAGAAAUUUUGUGUCACACAUUCACAAUACCCAAAAUUAAAAUUUUAGGGCGUUACAAAAACACAUUAAACAAUAUCGCAUAAAACAAUCACAGUCAGAUAACAAUUCAGAAUGUCGAUUUUACAAUUUAACCACCAAUAGUAUCAUAGUAUUCACAGUUGUAAUUUCAGAAUAUCAAAUUUCCACAUCAUUCACAAUAUUCACACAUAUAUAAAUAUAUCAUAAUAGAAUUCUAGAUUUGUAUGCACAUGAUUUAGAAGAUGCCAUACAAUUUUGGGUUUUAACAGAAUAAAUCCUACCCCACAUUACAUACCAUAAUGGGAGUUCCCCUAAACUCCCUUCUCCAACACACUAGGUUGUGGAUAAACCACUAUUGGUUCACAAAUAAUAACUGUCAUUUGGCUGUGGACACAUAGCAAGUCCCCGCAAUUGGAUUCUAGAUUUGGUUGUGGAUUCACAGCAAAAAAAUCCUACAAAUGAAGCCUGCUUUUGCCUGUAGAUUAUACAACAUAUACCCGCAGUUGGAAUCUGUCUUUGGCUGUGGAUGCAGUGUAACACCUCAAACUCGACCUAGACGUUAUGGCUAAAUCUUAAUGAUUUACUUUAACUCGCUAGAAAGCCCACGAAUUUACUUUAAAAUCAUGUGGUUAAACUAGUGUUCACUUUGAUAAAUCGUUUUCCAGUUUUAGAGAAAAUUCUUGUUAAAACUGUUACUUUAUUACAAUAAAACAUUGAAGUAAUUGUAUCAUUUUGUAGUGGAAUCUACUAAGCUAUAAGGUUUUGAAAAUCGUGAUUUAGUUUGAAACAAAUCAUUUUGCAAAUAGAAAUUUAAUACUACUUAAUUUGGAAAAGCACGCUAAAACGAAAGCAAAGUCCAAAAUAAUUUACGGUUUGAAAUUCUAAAAAGCCCAAAUUAGUCAUAAAGUCUAUUUAAACCAAUUUAUCGAAAGUGUAACACCCUAAACCCGGCCUGUAUGUUAUGGCCAAAUCUAGAUGUGUUACGAAAAAAAGUUUAUAAAACGACUUCCUUGUUAUUGGCAAAUCAUCGUAGCCAUUAUUACUUAGUAUAUCUGAUUUGUUUGGAAAACUUAUUGAUAUACUUAUUUGAUUUAAAAUCGUUGCUCACUUACGCCUUUUUAUUAAACCAAAUAUUUUGCAGCGGAGUUUCUUUAAAACAUCAUAUUUUGGAAAAUCAAAUUGUUUCUUGAAAAUCGUUAUUUUAGAAAAGUUGUCAUUUUCAGAAAAAUUAUUUUAUCAGUUGUUAUGCUGAGAAAACAAAAUAAAAUCCAAAACCAAAAAUAGUCCCAAAAAGUCUAGAGAGUCCCAAAAUGACAAUACUCUUAAAACUAGACAAGUUUAAACUAAUUUUAAAAGAAUGAAAUUUUACAGAAAUGUGGACACCACUGAGCUUCCGUCGCACCGACCCACCUAAAUCUGAGGGUUACUUGAACAGAAUAAACAAACAGAGAGUGAGUUUUGAAACUUAGUGUCUAACGCGUAUAUAAACAAAAAUUCAGAAUCAAUCUCAUGCAGAACAGAUACAAGUGUAAACCUUUUAUAAAAUUAGAAUUAUACAGAUACAAAUAUGCAACAUCCUACCCUCAUCCUCUACACACCAACUCCGACCAUUCUAUCACACCACGUGGGGUAUAAAAUACCCACCCAGCCCUACACACCGUAUAGUAUUUAUAUGACACUUUUUGGAAUAAUCGCAGCAGAGUUGCCAGUAUAUAGGCGAGAUAUCACCUCACACAGAACACUUCCUCCUCAUAAUACAAAUCCCGCCCCAUAGCCAGAUACAGACAAAAUAUCAUGUAAAAUAAAUUAACAGAUACUAGAGUUAACAUAUCACGCAUGAGCGUAUAAUAGAUAUUACACAUGCUUAUGCAUAACAAAAUAGAUCAUACAUAUUGUAUUCCAUAAUACUCAUAUAAAUGUUAUUUACGUCAAUCUCAAUCUAAUAGAGUAGCUGAUUUCAUGCUUUAACUCUUAUACCACACAUACAGACCCUAUAGAAGGCCCACAGUUGAUCGAGACAACAUGUAUGUCCCUAGGGAAAAAAUUUGUAAUUUGGGCCCAUAUGCAUGUAUGAGCCCACACACCCAAAAUGGCCUUGCCCAUGUGGCUCACCUACCUAGCACUCAGCCCAUACGGUCCAAAAUGGCCUAGGUCGUGUGUCACACACAGCCGCAUGUUGCACACAGCCUACCACAUAGCGAGUCACAAAACCGUUUGGAGUUGACAAGCCUAAUUUUUGGCUUUCGUCAAUCGUCAUUUUCUUACGUUUUCAUUACACACUUGGUUUGAUUCUGACCCAAAAGCAACCCUAAGUCCACCGAAACCUAAAAAUAGCAUUCCAAUGCCCAAUUUCAGUGAACAUUUACAAAACUUAAACAAAAACUAUCCAAAAACAUAGCCUCACAAUAGCAUCCAAUGCACUCGCACACUUACCGUCAACGAAUAGGAAACACCCAACACUCAAUUCGUUGGCGGAGCACCAAUUAUGAUAAUGCAAAAAUUUUAUGGAUUCUCAACACUAUCGAUCCAAAUGUAAGAUUGAUGCUUUCCAAUUAUGAUAAUGCAAAAAUUUUAUGGGAUGGUUUACAUGAAUUUUUGUUGUUGUCAACGAUCAAUGUAUUCAAUAAUUAAAAGAAAAUAUUAGUCGUUGUUAGAAAACCAAUACUAUGAGUGUUGUAGUUUAUUUCAGUAAAUUAAAGGUUUUGUGGGAUGAACUAGACAAUCAUGAACAAUUGAUUUAUUGCAAGUGUGGACAAUGUUUAUGUAACUUAGGGAAGACGGAUGAACAAUGUCGUGAGCAUGAUCGACUUCAUCAAUUACUUCUUGCUCUCUAUUCUAAUUGUUAUGCUCAAACUAGGUUUACAUUGUUUUACCAAGAUCCUUUGCCUUCCUUAAAUCAGGCAUUCCAACAAAUUACUUAGGAGGAACAUGUACGUGGAAUUACACUGAUUAAGGAAGAGAAGUCUGAUAUUUUAGGCUUUGCUUUGCAUACAGAAGGUCAUAACAAAGGCCGAGCUAAUUGUAUUGAUAAGUCAACCUUGUUGUGCACUCAUUGCUAUCGCAAAAGGCAUGAGAUGGCUACCUAUUUUGAAUUACAUAGCCACUUGGAUUGGCGGCUUAAGAAGUAUGGGAAGCCAGAGAAGAAAAGUGAUGAUCGUGGUGGUAAGACAAGUGCACAUCUUCCACGUAAGUAUUUUAUUUCAAAGGAUCACAAUUAAACAUUAGAUUUCUCAUUUUUAAAUUUUUUUUAUUUUUUUAACAACUACGUAAUUAACGAGUACCAAUUUUGGGUGUUGUAGGGGUUCUAUAACUUUCCCUAUAUGUAAUCGACUCUUGCACCCUCUUUUUUUCUCUAGAAUUCAAUGCAAACCUUAAAUUUAUCUUUUUAAAAGAAUUUUAAAAUCUCUUUAUAAAAGACGAUUUUUUUAGGUGACCAAUCACAGUUAAGAAAAACAAAUCGGUGGCAACUCCUUUCUAAUAAAUGUAAAAAACUUUUUAAACAAAAUAAGGUUGAAAUAAUCUAGUUGUCGUUAUACUUUGAUAAAAUUUUAGAUUUAGUCCUUAUACUUAAAAGGUUAAAAAUUAAGUCUUGUUUUUAUUUAAAAAUCUUAGUCCUAUCGUUAAUAUUGUUUUUUUUUUGUCAAAAUUUGUCAAGUUGACAUAUUAAUUAGGUUUCUCUUAUAUAUCGUGGUAUAUGACUAACACAAAAUAAACAAGUUGACAAAUUCUACAAAAAAUAUCAAAGAUGAUAAUAGUUUAAUUAAAAUUUUUAAAUUAAAAAAGUAAGGGAUUAAAUUUAUAACUUUUAAAGUAUAAUGAAUGAAAUUAUUGAAAUACAAGAACUAACAACAUAUUUUAAAAAUAUUACUAGUAAAUUAUAUAUCUACAACAAGAAUUGUAACCUCUUAUAUUAUAUUCUUGUAUUUAUUUUUGCAUCUUUCAUAAUAUGAUUUAUUAAUUUUAAUAUUUUUAUAGAAUAAUAUGCUUUAAAUAGUUUUUUGUAUCAUUUAUAAAAAUUAUAAUAAACUUACAAAAUAAUUUAAUGAUAUUUAAUUAUUAAUCGAAAAAAAUGAUAUCAUAUAUAUUAUGUAUAUAUUAAGAUUCCAAAUCAUUAAUUAUAUAUCUACGCAUUAUAAUAAAUUCAUCUUUCAAAAUUUUCCUUAUAAUUAAAGCAUAAAUUAUAUUUAUAAUAAUAUAAAUAUAUUCUAUCAUAAAUAUUCUUUCAAAUAUUUUUUAAUGUUUAAUAAUAAGUUAAUUUAUAAAAUAUUCUUUCAGUAAAUUAACGUGAUGAGAUCGUUAGGUGCUUGGAUUUGGUGAAGGGGGAUGAAGAGAAAAGGGAUGGAAGUGAAUAAAAAUGUUGAGAAAUGGAAAGGGUUAGCGAGGGAAGCCGCCAUGAAAGGUGGUUCAAUGGAUAUGAACCUUCAAGCUUUUGUGGAUGAUGUUACUCAAGGUUGUUGCAAGUAAAUUUAAAAAUGUUUUUAAAUUAUUUUUUUGUUAAAAAAACAUUUUUUACUUUUUUAUGUGGCAUGCCACAUUAUCAUACUAUCAUGUGACAAUUUCUGGUGAUUUCUGUCCGCAACAUUAGUCAAAUCAACUGUUAAAUCGUUCAACUCACAGUUUUUGUUAAAUGAAGAGGUUAAUUGAUUUUUUUUUGGAAUCAUUGAGUACUCAAUUGGUGCACUUUUUUCAUAAAGGCUAAAUUAAUUUUUUAAUUUGUUAUUGUUGAAGGCUAUAGCAAUAAAAAAAAUUGAGGUAAAAAAAUAUUAGAGCUAAAUUUGUCAUUAUGCCUAAAAUGUAAAACCAAAUUUUUUUGAAAAUGAAAAAAAAUGGAAAAUCGCAAAUUCCGUCGCAUAUUUUUGCUUAAAAUUAUAGUUUUGGUCACCAAUCUUUUGAAGUAAAUAUAGGUCACCAAUAUUAUCAAUUUGUUACUUUGUAAUAACUCACCUUAAGUUAUACCCCGACGCACGAAAGGAUUAAAUGACAUUGGGAUACCAUCAAACUUGUAUCUUAAAUACACAUUUACCCCUAAUUUUAUCACAUUCUUCUUAAUUGGUAUUUAUGGUUUAGAAAAUUUUACAAAUAUAUUAUUUUUUAAGAAAUUAUAAGAAGAUUACAAAAAUUCCAAAAUAAUAUAAAAAAGCUAAGGAAAACCUAGAAAUUCAAAAAAAAAAACGUGGACAUUGAAUUUGCUGUUUCACAUUAAAUUUUUGGAGAAGUAGAAUUUUCUAACUUAUUUUCCAUCAACUUCACUUCAAUUUUCAAUCACAAUCUAUUGCAUUCAAGAGCACCACAUCUUUUGGGAUGAAACAAACCUCUCAAUUUUAAGAUAAACGGAAUCUAUUGCAUUCAAGAGCACCACGUCUUUUUGGAUGAAACAAAGCUCUCAAUUUUAGGAUAAACGGGUCUUUAGGGUUAUAAAUUGAGGUCCUUUUCCACAAUUGCGGGUGAUUCGUUGAUAAUAACCUCAACAUUUCUGUAUCACAUUUAAUUCAAUUCCACAUUCAAUUUUUAGUUUUUAGAGAGAUGAUUGGGUUACAACAAUGGUUUGAAGUGAAGAUAUUUCAAAACAAGAUGAAUACUCUACCAAUAGUCAUAAUUUAAAAUGCAGGUUAUGUUUCAUUUCAGCUAAGUUAAAUGUUAAGAUUGAGGUUAAACCUUUUAGAGGUUGCUCGCAAAAGGAUCAAACCUUUAUAAAAUUGUUUAAAUGAAGGUCAAACCUCUUAAAAUAGACAAAUAAGGGCCUAACCUUUUAAAAGGUGUUCAAAUAAGGGUUUCUCAAAUUUUGUAUAUCAGGUUAUGUAUUUUACUCUAAACACAUCGACAUUUACCUAUUUUUUCUAUAAAUUGGGUUGAAGUGCAUGAAAAAACCUUAUUUAAGCACUUCUGUAAAGGUUAAACUCUUAUUUGACUAUUUUGAAAGGUUUGAUCCUUAUAUAAGCAACCUCUAAAAGAUUGAGUACUAAUUUGACAAGAUUGAGAAAUACCUAAAUUUGUUUUCAUGAAUCAAGAAAAUAAAAAAGAAAUGUUGAGAAAUAUUUUAGAGAUUCUUAGCUUUGACAAGUUCCCUCCAUCAUCUUCCUGCCUCCAGUCCCACCUCUUCUCUUAUGCUCCUCCCAGCUUCUUGCUUUUUGUGUGUUGAAAUUUCAAAGGAACAAAAUAUCAACCUACAUCAUAAGGCACGAUUGCCAGAACUUUACUUUCUAGCCUGUCGAUCCGAUCCAAUGAAAGAAGAACAAAGAGUCUCAAGAUCUGUCAACUUUAUUUCAUUUUCAUUUUCUUUGUCAUUUUCUAUGUUUCAUGUCGAAUACAAUGAAAGAACAUAGAAAAAUGUUGCCUAUUUAUUUCCCAAUCAUCAUGAAAUUACUUGCCAUAGACUUAGAAUUUUCUCACCAAUUUUCAAGCAAUCUGACAUGAUUUCUCAAUCACAAUUAAUUGAAUUCAAGAUCUUUUUAGAUGACACAAACAUUUCAAUUUUAACACAAACCAAUAUUUAGGUUGUACUUCAGUGCUUGACAAGCACUUUCACAUUUGUGGGAUAAGAACUCUUAACAUUUUAGGAUCACAUUUAAUUCAAUUGCAUUUAAGACCUCACGAUUUUAUUCUAUAAUUUCAGUCUUAUCAGCCUUUUCGGAAACAAUAAAACGUCGACAUUAAAUUUGUUGUUGAUGCAUUCAAUUUUUUGAGGGGUCUUUGGAGUUAUAUGUGACUUUAGCAUUGACUGACUUUUUUAUAAUUAAUCUUUUAUAAUAUAUCAAUUUUAAUAACAUCGACAUGUUUUUUAGUAGGGUCUAGCAAAACCCAAUUAAAACCGAUGAUAUUGGCUUAGUUGACUCGGUCAAGUCCAUUAGAUUGAUAAAAUCAAUUUUAAAAUCAGUUAUAAUGGAUUAAGGUAAUUAAUUAUCGAGUAAUGAAAUACAUAAUCAAAUCAAUUGAUUUUGUUAGAAACUAAAAGAAAAUGAGAUAAGCUGAAAACUGAUUGCCCUUUAUUAAAAUUAACGAAUCCGCCCUUUACGUAUUAGAUAAUACGAACAUCACAUAUAUAAUAAGAAAAAUUACGUAUGAUUAUUUAUUAUCAUAAAAGGUUAGUUUAAAUUUAAAGUAAUCUAAUAUGUUUAUUGAACUUCAACUAUUAAAUAAAGUAUAAGCUAAAUAAGUAUAAAUAUUCUAGAAACCAUUUCUAACUGAUGAUAGGCUAAUUCGAUUAAUUUAUAAAAACUACAUAGUAGGGUUAUAGUCCUCAAACUACACCUAAUUUAAUAAUAUUUAUAGUUUUUUUUUUAGCCUUAAACAUUUAUAGUUUUUUGUUAAUUUGGUCCUUACUCUUUAAAAUUACAUAAAAAUUGCAAAAAAAAUUAAAAUUAAUUUUUUUUCAUAAUUUUAAUAACAUUUAUAGUUUUUUUUUUGUGUGUGGUUUGGUAACUUAUCAACUCGACUCUCACUUGUAACCAACUUUUCUAACCUUUUUCGUACCCUUAACCUAAGUCCCGUUACAACUUUCUAAAGACCUCUUUAUCAGUGUAUCAUGUCGGUUUGUUUUAUAAUGGUGGAGAUUUGUUUUUUGUAGUGGCACGAUUGCCAGAACUUUACUUUCUAGCCUAUCGAUCCGAUCCAAUGAAAGAAGAACAAAGAGUCUUAAGAUCUGUCAACUUUAUUUCAUUUUCAUUUUCUUUGUCAUUUUCUAUGUUUCUUGUCAAAUACAAUGAAAAAAGAACAUAGAAAAAUGUUGCAUAUUUAUUUCCCAUUCAUCACUCUAACAGGCCCAAUUAGCCCAGGCCCAAACAUUAAUAAAAUGUCUAGAUUACAAAAUAAUCAACUAAAAAUUAAAAGCUCAAAAAAUAAAAUAAAACCCAUUAUAUUAACCCAAAACCCCAGCCCAAUUACAUUGAAACCCAAAAAAAAAAUAGUUUUCAGAAACCCCUAGGGUUUCAGAAGCCCCUCAAUGUUAUUUUGUAUAUCUAUUUAUCUUUUUAAAUUUUCGAUAUUGUCUUGUUUUGUUUUUGUAUUAUUGUUGUUACCAUCAUUAUUCAUUAUUAUUAUUGUUGAUUUUAUUGUUCUUUGAUUAAUGUUAAUGUUAGAGUAAUAGAUGUUAUGUGAUCAUUGUUAUUAUAUGUUAUAAUUUGUUUACACUCGUAUUGUAGUCAUUUGUCAGCUUAAUAUUUUGAGUAAUAUUUUAAAUAUUACAUUAAUUUCGACCCAAAUGCAUAAUUUUUUAAUAAGUAAUAUUUUAUAUUUUGAAAUUUGAGAGAUCAUUCCCUAACUUACGGGGUCUCAAUUUUUUCGAUAAAUCUGAAUAUACUAACUAUUUUCAAAAAAUAUGUUUUAAAAUUAUCUCGGGAAUUUAAAAAGGAGCGUGUUCUAACUUACUGAAUAUGAUCUUUUUUUUAAAAUCGAGAUAAUCAAAUAACUUUCAAAUAAAUAAAUUUUCAAUGUUUAUUCUCAUAUCAGGAUUUAAAAUAUUAUAUCCUAACUCACGGGAUACAAUUCUUUUUCUCGAUUAACAUGAAAUAUGCCCGUUUUAAUUUUAUUUUUUAAGUGAUUUUAACAAAAGGAUUGUAUUUUAAAUCUCUUCAAAAUUUUCAAUUUUUCGACAUUGAGACAUUAACUAAUCAAUUAGGUACCAAUUUUGGGCGUUACGAGGGUGCUAACCCUUCCUCAUACGUAACCGACUCCCGAACCUAUUUUUCUGAAUAUUGAAGGCCAAAAUUGUUUUAAUAAAUUAAACCCUUAAGACGUGACCCCAUCACACCUCAUAAAAAUUAUCGGUGGCGACUCUCGUUUGCGUUUUUGUUUUCGUUUUCAAAAUAAAAGUCGACCCCUUGUUUUAAAAAAGGUGGUUCGAUAGCUUGGCGACUCCGUUGGGGAAAAAAAUAAGAGAGUCAAGCCACGAGUUGAUUAUUUCUUAUUUUUUGUCAGAAAUUGUGAAUUCGAUUUAAAUUUACGAUCUUUUCAUUGCAUUUUAUGGUCUGCAUCAUUUUGAUAUGCUUGCUUUACUGGUUCGAGUCUUUUAAUCUCCGCAUAUUGCAUUGCAUAACCGUUCGGUUAUACCCUUUUAAGUGGGAGUGAGAAACUAUUCAUUUGUGAGAUUUUUACCUCCGUAUAGGAUAGUGGAUUACUUUCGGGAUACAUCCGUACCUAUGUCUUCGUGAGAUUUUCAUCUCCGUAUAGUUAUAGGGAAAUGUAUUCCCCUGAACUGAACUCAGUCCGUAUGAGCCUAUAAUAGGUAAGGAUUGAGGAAUCUGCUGGUUCAGGUACCCUUUCUUUAGAACUAAACUGCAUGUAGUGAGCCCUAAGAGCAUACCGUAGGUAGAACCACUCCAAACCCCUAGUGGUCACCCAAAUAGGUGCUCUAUUUAUUUUUGCUUGCUUAUUUUUGCAUUGUACUAACCUAUUUUUUUGUUAUGAUUGCAUUGCAUUUUCAUCAUAAAAAAGAUGUGUUGAUUCACGUUCAAUUGCUAAAUAGAGAGCUUGUCAUGGAAAACGGAUUUCUUGAUAAAGUGGAAGACAAUGUGGUUAUCCGGAUAUGGUCCAAGAAAAUUUGACGAAAGAAGGGUGAUAGUCUAAUGGAGGACUACACGACCUUGCUUUAUUGCCCGAGGAUUCAAGUUGACAAAGAUUAUUUGAGAGUCCUCAAUGUCCCGACCUUUUUCAAGAAGCUAACGAGUGUCACGAGGAUGAGUGAGUAAUGAGUUGCGGCCCGGAUCAAGCAAAAAAGAGAUAGAGGAGACACCCUUUUUGAAGAGUUCGCGAGAUUUAUAUUAAUAUCAAAAUGAAGAAAAAGAUCAAUGUCUUCGCCUGGAGUAUGAAAGCAAAGCUGUAUAUAUAUCCGCUUUAUGUAAAUAAAUUUGUUUUCUAGUAAAGUUUUUCUAAUAGAAUUGAAUCAGAAUCAAUGUCUUUUUUUGCAUUCAUUCCAUUCAUCUGCAUUGCAUUUCAUUGCAUCCAAAAUUUCACAAAAGGACCCUAAUUAAUUGAAAUUGUUAUAGUUACUCUGAAAACUAAUAAAAAUCUACCAAUUAAAUAUUCCUACGGUACCCGUCGCAAAACCAAAGUAAUGGAUCAAAUAUUAGAAAGAUUAGAACAAAUUCUGAAAGACAAGCAUAAUCGUUUUUGCUUAGGGUACAAGCCAGAUACAAGACAAAGAAGGAAGGAGUUAGAGAAGAAAUAGGAAAGAAUGACAGCAUAUUUGAGCGAGGAUGAGGUCAAAUGGGAGCCUAUGAACUUUCCCUACAUAUCCAAAACUUUUGUAUCGGGAGGGAUUAUUCAUCCCGAGCGAAGAAUGCCAAGAGAAGAAAAUAUUGAAGAAAUGUUGGGAAACGUUCACAUCAAUGCCAUAUACGAAGAAGUAGUUGAAGGAUGGACCUUGUUAGAUAUCCGACCUUAUGAACCUGGGAGUGUGCUAAACAAUUGGACUACAGAAGAAAUUCCUGUAGUGUUUAGACCUUACUCAGAGUAAUAUUCAAAACACACUUGUUGCUUUUAGCCUAGAAGUGAUAAGAAUCCCUCUGUGAAAUAGGCUCAUGUAUAAACAUCAUUAUUUUAAUAAAGUAAAUCUUUGCAUUCAUUUUGAGCAAAUAUUCUUUUAUUCUUUCCAUACGAGUAAUUAUUUUAGAUUUUUCAUUAUUUUAGGAUUUUCUUCCAAAAAUCAUUCUUUUAUUACAUUCAUAAUCAUACUGUACAAAUAAUUAUUCUUAAAUUCAUUCAUUCUUUGUAUAUUCUUUUGUACCUAUAAUAGGUCCCUAGAUAUCAACGACAUGAGUGACGCUGCUACAGACUUAGAAUUUCCUUUUAAACAAGACAUGUGUUUAGAGGGAUCCCAUGACUUUGAAGAUGACGUAGACUGUGGCUUAUCUCCGGACUUGUUAAGGAUGGUAAAACAAGAGGAGAAGCAAAUCCUACUUCACAAUGAAUCAAUGGAAAUUGUGAGCUUAGAAGGGGAAAAUAGGUGAAGAUUGGGACUGACAUUGCCACAAAUACGAAGUAAGACCUCAUUGAGUUACUCUAAGAAUUCAAAGAUAUUUUUGCAUGGUCAUACUAGGAUACGCUCGGGUUAAGUACUGACAUUGUAGUACACUGCCUUCCUAUAAAAGAAGAUUGCUAGCCAGUUCAGCAGAAACUCCAGAGGAUGAGGCCUGAUAUUGUGCUAAAAAUAAAAGAAGUCAAAAAGUAAUUUGAUGUUGGGUUCUUACAAGUGGUCAAAUAUUCAGAAUGGGUAGCCAACAUCGUCUCAGUUCCUAAAAAAAAUGGGAAAGUACGAAUGUGCAUGGAUUACAGAGACUUGAACAAGGCCAGUCGAAAAGACAAUUCCCUAUUGCCUCACGUUGACACUUUGGUGGAUAAUACAGUAGGCUACUCACUUUUUUCCUUCAUGGAUGGCUUCUCUGGAUACAAUCAGAUAAAGAUGCAUCCAAAAACAUGGGAAAGAUUACAUUCGUGACCCUGUAGGAAACGUUUUACUAUAAAGUGAUGACAUUCAGAUUAAAGAAUAUGGGAGCGACGUAUCAAAGGGUGAUGGUAACCUUGUUUCAUGACAUGAUUUACAAGGAAAUCGAGGUUUAUAUUGACGAUAUGAUUGCAAAAUCUAGAACAGAAGAGGAACAUGUGCAGGUCCUGAGAAAAUUAUUCUUAAGACUGAGAAAGUUCUAGCUCAAGCUUUCCAACGAAAUGCACUUUCGGAGCUAGGUCAGGAAAGCUAUUAGGCUUCAUAGUCAGUGAAAAAGGAAUCGAGAUCAACCCAGACAAAGUCAAGGUAAUAAGAGAUUUACCUCCACUAUGCACUCAGAAGAAAGUUCGAGGUUUCCUAGGAAGACUAAAUUACAUUGCUCGGUUUAUUUCACAACUAACCGAAAAAUGUGACCCCAUAUUUCAUCUUUUAAAGAAACAUAAUCCAGAUGUAUAGGAUGAAGAAUGUCAGGAAGUUUUUGAUAGGAUAAAGCAGUACCUAUCAAAUACUCUAGUGCUGUUACCACCUAGCCCAGAUAGGCCACUGAUAUUGUAUUUAACAGUGUUUGAUAAUUUUAUGGGAUGCAUGCUAGGCCAACAUGAUGAGACAGGAAGGAAAGAAAGGGUUAUAUACUAUCUCAGUAAGAAAUUCACUGAUUAUGAAAUAAGAUACUCGUCUAUUGAGAAAUUAUGUUGUGCCUUGAUCUGGAUAACUCGGAGGCUAAGGCGGUACAUGUUGUACCAUACGACUUGACUAAUUUCAAAGUUAGACCCUUUAAAGUAUAUGAUGGAGUCAACUACUUUGAAUGGGAGGAUGGCCAGAUGGCAGAUUUUACUUUUUGAAUUUGACAUACUUUAUGUGAGCCAGAAGGCUAUAAAAUGGAGUGCAAUAGCGGAUUUUCUAGCUAGCAGAGCCUUGGAGGAUUAUGAGCCUUUAAAUUUUGAUUUUUUGAACGAGGACUUAAUGUAUGUGGCAACCACUAAAGAAAAUGCUCAAGUGGAUCGCAUUUGGAAGCUAAAAUUUGACGGAGCCUCAAAUGCUAUGGGUAAUAAAAUUGAGGCAGUCUUAGUAUCCCCGAGCAGAGAUCAUUAUCCUAUUGCUGGCAAAUUGGAUUUUGAUUGUACAAACAAUAUAGCAGAAAAUGAAGCGUGUAUUAUGGGCAUCCGUAUAGCCAAAGAAUGUAAAAUCAAAGUGCUAAAGGUAUAUGGGGAUUCUGCAUUGGUGAUAUAUCAGCUCAAAGGAGGAUGAGAGAUAAGAGACCUCAAAUUGAUUAAUUAUCGAAAGUUUAUUCUCGAAUUGAUUGAUGAGUUUGAUGAUAUUACUUUCUCCUAUCUCCCACUAGAUGAAAACCAGAUGGCUGACACGUUGGCUACUCUAGCUUUCAUGAUCAAAGUAAACAAACUAGAAGACAUGAAGCCUAUCCAGAUGAGCAUUUAUGAGACUUUGGCUCAUUGCUACAGUAUCGAGGAAGAGGAAAAGGAUGAUCAUCCUUGGUACCAAGAUAUACUGCAAUAUGUAAAGAAUCACGAGUACCCUGAUCAGGCAACGAAGAAUGAUAAGAGGACAUUGAGAAGACUAGCCACUAACUAUGUCUUACAUGGAGAGAUUUUAUACAAAAAGGGAAAGGAUCGGGUACUACUAAGAUGCUGGAUGCUAUAAAAGCUUAGAAAAUCUUGGAGGAAGUCCAUGAAGGUAUCUGCAAAAUGCAUGCCAACGGUUUCACAAUAGUAAGACAGAUUAUGAGAUUCGGGUACUACUGGUCGACCAUGGAAGGAGAUUGCAUCAAUUAUGCCAAGAAGUGCCAUAAAUGUCAAAUUUAUAGAGACAAAAUACACGCACGUUCUUCACCUCUCAACGUUAUGACUUCUCUAUGGCCUUUCUCUAUGUGGGAUAUGGAUGUCAUCGGGCCAAUAUUGCCAAAGGCUUCUAAUAGGUAUCGUUUCAUCUUCAUGGUCAUUGGUUACUUCACUAAAUAGAUGGAAGCUGAUUCAUAUGCUAAUGUCACGAAGUCAGGAGUCAGCAAGUUCUUGAAAAGGGAGAUCAUAUGUUGAUAUAUAAUGCCUGAAAGAAUCAUAUCUGACAAUACAUUGAAUUCGAAAAAUAGCAAAAUAGCGGAGGUCUGCAAUCAAUUCAAGAUCAAACACCAUAAUUCGUCACCAUAUCGCCCAAAAAUGAACGGAGCAGUGGAGGCGGCCAACUAAAAUACCAAGAAAAUUGUGGGGAAAAUGUCUGAGACUUACAAAGAUUGGCAUGAAAAAUUACCAUUUGCCCUCUUUGUUUAUCGAACAUCAAUCAGGACUUUCGUCGGGGCAACGCCUUUCUCUCUAGUUUAUAAGAUGGAGGCAGUUUUACCCAUUAAAGUUGAAAUCCCUUCUCUCUGGGUAUUGGCUGAGCUAAAGUUGGAUGAAGCUGAAUAGAUCCAACCUCGAUAUGAUCAGUUGAACCUAAUAGAAAGAAAAAGGCUAAAAGUUAUUCACCACGGUCAGAUGUACCAAAAACGAAUGAUGCGAGCCUACAACAAAAAAGUUCAUCCCAAAGAAUUCUAUGAGGGGGACCUAGUGUUGAAAAAGAUUUUUCCUCUACAAAAGAAUUUUAGAGGAAAAUGGAUGCCAAAUUAGGAAAGACCUUAUGUUGUAAUAAAGGCCUUUUCUGGAGGAGCAUUGAUUUUGAGUGAGAUGGAUGGUAAAAAUUUUCCUAAUCUUGUAAACUCAGAUUCAUUCAAGAAAUACUUCACCUAAAGAAGGAGAAGGGACCAAUGUGAAAACCUGCAAAGGGCACUUUGAGUCUUAAAAAAAAGAGACCAAGGUGAAAACCGCAAAUGGUGUCUUAAGUCCUAAAAAAAAGAGGCCAAGGUGAAAACUAGCAAAGGGCGCCUUGAGACCAAAGGGGAUUUGAGUUGAAAACCCGAAAAGAGCGACUCAAAUAUUGAUUAAAAUGGGGCAUGCAGUGAUCUUGCUAUACUUGAAUUAAUAGGAAAGGGGUAUACGACAUCUUGGGGCAUCGACAAAGUACUAUAGAUCUCCUAAACACAUUUCAAACUCAAAAUGGUCUUUAGGAAGUUUGUACAGAGAAAUUCAAGCUGCGAUGUCUAGGGCACCUAGUCUUCAUACUAUUUAUAUUAAAUUUGCUAUUCUUGGAAUACUUUAUUCUUUUCAAGAUACGUGUUCCCAAUCAAUUCCCUUUUUAUUCUUCUUUAUCCUUGAUAAUUUAUUCAUUUCGAGCUAUGCUCCAAAUCAAUUCUAUUCUUAUCCAUUGUUAUUAUCUUUUGCAAGCAUGUUGUAUUGGAAUAAUGAUUAAUAGACUAAUAAUACUUUUACAAAUAAAGUGCUGUAUAUUACUCUAAAAGUUUCUAAAUAAUACAAGAACCUAAAACAGGACUAUUGUUUAGAACGCACCGGGUUUAAAGGUUAGAAAUAUCUGAGAAGGAAGAGUCCAAAUUAAGACUAUCCCUUCGAAUUUUGUUGUCAAAAUAUUGAUUGAACAAAACGACAAGAUAUCGUAUUGGUGAACAAACGAGCAAUGAUCACCAGGUAAUAAAAAGAGGUUAUUUUGGAAAAAAAAUUACAUUGGUACGACACCUUAGGAAUGGUGUAAGAGACCAAAGAGGUUCACAUCUUGUAUUCUUGAAUUGCAAUAGGAGAGGAUUGAGAAAGAGCUAGAUAUUAUACUCCUGAAUUAUAAUGGAAGGGAAAUGGUACAAAUUUUAUGUACCAAAAGUACAGUGGAUUGAACCUUGAAGAUUACAGUAGGGGAAAUCUGAUUAAGUAAAAUAUGAAGUGUUUCUUUGGAGAUACCAGUCGAACAAGAUGGCAUUAUGACGUGUCGGUGAUAGAGCCUUAAUGAAUAAUGAGCAAUAACAACUCAAGCAUUAAGGGAUCAUUUUCAUAACAUUCUGUAUUCAUUCAUACACAUCUAGUUAGGAGAUUUUGAUUCAUUCCGAUCAUAACAUCCAAAUCACUAGACAUAAAUAGGCCCAUGAAAUGGAUUCUACAGGUCAUGUUCCCCAUAGAACAGAUGGGUGAAACCACAAAUCCUAUACCGCUGAAGUUGCAGUGGGAUGGAUUGAAGUCAUUAUGGCGAGUCUUAUCUCCCUGAAGUUGCAAUGGAGCAUAUUAAAGCUAGUAAUCUUAUCUCCCUGAAGUUGCAGUAGAGCGGAUUGAAGUUACAAGUCUUAUCCCCCUAAAGUUACAGUGGAGCAGACUGAAGAUAGUGAAUCUUAUUUCCCUGAAGCUGCAGUGGAACAAAUUGAAGCUAUAAAUUGUAGAUUUUAUCUCUCUAAAGUUGCAAUAGAGAAGAUCAUAUCAAACUUUAUCUCCCUGAAGUUGUAGUGGAACAGGUUGAAAAUACCAAUCUUAUCUCCCUGAAGUUACAGUGGAGUAGACUGAAGAUAGCGAAUCUUAUUUCUCUGAAGUUGCAGUGGAACGGAUUGAAGCUAUAAAUUACAGAUCUUAUCUCUCAGAAGUUGCAGUAAAGCAGAUCAUAGAAAACCUUAUCUCCCUGAACUUGCAGUGGAGUAGGUUGAAGUUAUAAGUCUUAUCUCCCUAAAGUUGCAGUGGAGCAGACUGAAGAUAGCGAAUCUUAUUNNNNNNNNNNNNNNNNNNNNNNNNNNNNNNNNNNNNNNNNNNNNNNNNNNNNNNNNNNNNNNNNNNNNNNNNNNNNNNNNNNNNNNNNNNNNNNNNNNNNNNNNNNNNNNNNNNNNNNNNNNNNNNNNNNNNNNNNNNNNNNNNNNNNNNNNNNNNNNNNNNNNNNNNNNNNNNNNNNNNNNNNNNNNNNNNNNNNNNNNNNNNNNNNNNNNNNNNNNNNNNNNNNNNNNNNNNNNNNNNNNNNNNNNNNNNNNNNNNNNNNNNNNNNNNNNNNNNNNNNNNNNNNNNNNNNNNNNNNNNNNNNNNNNNNNNNNNNNNNNNNNNNNNNNNNNNNNNNNNNNNNNNNNNNNNNNNNNNNNNNNNNNNNNNNNNNNNNNNNNNNNNNNNNNNNNNNNNNNNNNNNNNNNNNNNNNNNNNNNNNNNNNNNNNNNNNNNNNNNNNNNNNNNNNNNNNNNNNNNNNNNNNNNNNNNNNNNNNNNNNNNNNNNNNNNNNNNNNNNNUCAAAGGAACAAAAUAUCACCUACAUCAUAAGGCACGAUCGCCAGAACUUUACUUUCUAGCCUGUCGAUCCGAUCCAAUCCAAUGAAAGAACACAAGGAGUCUUAAGAUCUGUCAACUUUAUUUCAUUUUCAUUUCUUUGUCAUUUUCUAUGUUUCAUGUCGAAUACAAUAAAGAGAACAUAGAAAAAUGUGGCCUAUUUAUUUCCCAAUCAUCAUGAAAUUACUUGCCAUUGACUUAGAUUUUCUCACCAAUUUCAAGCAAUCUGACAUGAUUUCUCAUCACAAUUAAUUGAAUUCAAGAUCUUUUUAGAUGACACAAACAUUUCAUUUUAACACAAACCAAUAUUUCGGUUAUACUUCAGUGCUUGACAAGCACUUUCACAUUUGUGGAUAAGAACUCUUAACAUUUUAGGAUCACAUUUAAUUCAAUUGCAUUUAAGACCUCAUGGUUUUAUUCUAUAAUUUCAGUCUUAUCAGCCUUUUCGGAAACAAUAAAACGUCGACAUUAAAUUUGUUGUUGAUGCAUUCAAUUUUUUGGGUCUUUGGAGUUAUGUGACUUUAGCAUUGACUGACUUUUUUAUAAUUUAAUAAUAAGGUAAAUAUAUUAAUUUUAAUAACAUCGACAUGUUUUUUAGUAGGGUCGAGCAAAACCCAAUUAAAAUCGAUGAUAUUGGCUUAGUUGACUCGGUCAAGUCCAUUAGAUUGAUAAAAUCAUUUUUAAAAUCAGUUAUAAUGGAUAAAGGUAAUUAAUUAUCGAGUAAUGAAAUACAUAAUCAAAUCAAUUGAUUUUGUUAGAAACUAAAAGAAAAAGGGCUAAGCUGAAAAUUGAUUGCCCUUUAUUAAAAUUAACGAAUCUGUCUUUUACGUAUUAGAUAAUAUGAACAUCGCAUAUAUAAUAAGAAAAUUACGUAUGAUUAUUUAUUAUCAUAAAAGGUUAGUUUAAAUUUAAAGUAAUCUAAUAUGUUUAUUGAACUUCAACUAUUAAAUAAAGUAUAAGCUAAAUAAGUAUAAAUAUUCUAGAAACCAUUUCUAACUGAUGAUAGGCUAAUUCGAUUAAUUUAUAAAAACUAGAUAGUAGGGUUAUAGUCCUCAAACUACACCUAAUUUAAUAACAUUUAUAUUUUUUUUAGCCUUAAACAUUUAUAGUUUUGUUAAUUUGGUCCUUACUCUUUAAAAUUACAUAAAAAAUUGCAAAAAAAUUAAAAAUUAAUUUUUAUCAUGAUUUAAUAACAUUUAUAUUUUUUUUUGUGGUUUGGUAACUUAUCAACUUGACUCUUACUUGUAACCAACUUUUCUAACCUUUUUCGUACCCUUAACCUAAGUCCCGUUACAAUUUCUAAAGACCUCUUGAUUGGUGUAUCAUCUCGAUUUGUUUUUAUAGUGGUGGAGAUUUGUUUUUUGUAGUGGGCAUGAUUGCCAGAACUUUACUUUCUAUCCUGUCGAUCCGAUCCAAUGAAAGAAUAACAAAGAGGUCUUAAGAUCUGUCAACUUUAUUUCAUUUUCAUUUUCUUUGUCAUUUUCUAUGUUUCUUGUCACAUACAAUGAAAGAAGAACAUAGAAAAAUGUUGCCUAUUUAUUUCCCAAUCAUCAUUCUAACAGGCCGAAUUAGCCCAGGCCCAAACAUUAAUAAAUGUCCAGAUUACAAAAUAACCAACCAAAAAUUAAAAGCCCAAAUAAUAAAAUAAAACCCAUUACAUUAACCCAAAACUCCAGCCCAAUUACAUUGAAGCCAAAAAAAUAGUUUUUAGAAACCCCUAGGGUUUCUGGAACAAUCCGCGCCGCUCCUCCAUCCGCUUCUCCACGCACGCUGCACCUUUCCACGUGCGCCUCCAGCUGGCAGUGUACCUCCAAUGCAACAAACAAAGCAACAAGCAGCAAAAGAAAUGGAAAAACAACAAAAAAAAAAGAAGGAGCAACAAUGUAUAACAGAUUGAUAACAAAUAAUAGAAAAAAUAGCAGUAAAUAGGAAAAAAAAUUAAAAAAUAAUGAGGGUAAUUUCAUUUUUUUCUCUGUUUUGGCUAUAAAGAGAGCCGGUCAAAAUCUCUAAAGGGGGAUUUAGAAUCAAUCAGAAAACAAGUAUUUUGUACCAACAAUUAGAGAAAAAAAAUACAAAAAUAGGGAUUGAAGGUUUUUUUUUUCUUUCGUUUCGAUUUAUUUAAAAUAGCAUAGAAAAUAAAAAGAAGGCUUACCUUGCGACGCCUUCAGAUCCUCUCGAAAAGGGGCUAAAAGGCCCUAUGUGGCACAGAUUUGACCACUGUUCACGGUGGAACCGCAGCGGAGGCGCAGAGGAUUGGCAUCAAUUUAGGCAGGGUUUGAAACCCUAGCAGAGAAAAAAUUAGGGUUGAUAGAUUUUUUUUAAAAAAAUGGCAAAAUGUUGUUUUUAAAAAAUUUUGUUUUAAAAAAAUUGUUGCUUUUAUAAAGGGUGUAAAACGGCGUCGUUUAGGGCAUGUUUCGAUGGCCCCAAAACGGCGCCUUAUAAGGCAACCCCCGACGACCCGACCUGCUCCAUGGGGGAUCCGCGUGGUUUUUGUUAAAUGGGUUAUGUCUAACCCUGGCCCUUCUACUUUUUAUACUUGUUUUAAUUUGAUCCUCUUUUUAUUUAUUUUUAUUUCUUUAAAUUAAGCCUGAUAAUUUUUUUCCAUUACAUUUUAAUCCUUAAUGAAACGGCGCGUUUUAGAGGAGAAGGGAAAAUUACCCUUCUAGUCCCUUCUUGUUAUUCGAGUGUUCAGAAGGGUCCUUUUUUGUUUAUUUUUUAUUUGCCCCAAAAUUUUGUUUUAAAGCUUAAUUUAGUCCUAUUUUGUUAUUUUAGCUAUUUUAUUAUUAGAUUAAUUAAUUUAAUAUUAUUAUUACUGCUAUUAUUUUACCCCUAUUAGUUAUAUAUUUAUUAUUAUAACUAUAUCAUUAAAUCAAUUAGUUUUUACAUUAUUAUUUCCAUUCUGUUUUUUAUUUACUUACUUAAAUACUUUAAAUGCAUUUAUUUUAUUUCUUAUUUUUUUAUGAAAUUUCAAAACUUUAGACUAUUUUUUUGUUACUAUAACCCUAAUUUCAUUCAUUUUAUAAUAGUUUUUUUUUAAAAUAUUUCUUAGAUUAAUUCCCUCGAUGUUAUUUUGUAUAUUUAUUUAUCUUUUUAAAUUUUCGAUAUUGUCUUAUUGUAUUAUUGUUGUUACUAUCAUUAUUCAUUAUUAUUGUUGAUUUUAUUCUUCUUUGAUUAAUGUUUAUGUUAGAGUAAUAGGUGUUAUGUGAUCAUUGUUAUUAUAUGUUAUAAUUUGUUGACACUCGUAUUGUAGUCAUUCGUCAGCUUAAUAUUUGAGUAACAUUUUAAAUAUUACAUUAAUUUUGACCCAAAUGCAUAAUUUUUUAAUAAGUAAUAUUUCGUAUUGUGGAAUUUGAGAGAUCAUUCCCUAACUUACGGGGUCUCGAUUUUUUUGAUAAAUCUGAAUAUAAGAACUAUUUUAAAAAAAUACGUUUUAAAAUUAUCUCGGGAAUUUAAAAAGAAGCGUGUUCUAACUUACGGAAUAUGAUCUUUUUUAAAAAUCGAGAUAAUCAAAUAUCUUUCAAAUAAAUAAACUUUUCGUGUUUAUUCUCGUUUUAGGAUUUAAGAUAUUGUGUCCUAACUCACGGGACACAAUUCUUUUUCUCGAUUAACGUGAAAUACGCCCUUUUUAAUUUUAUCUUUUUAAGUGAUUUUAACAAAAGGAUUGUAUUUUAAAUCUCUUCAAAAUUUUCAAUUUUUCGACAUUGAGACAUUAACUAAUCAAUUAGGUACCAAUUUUGGGCGUUACAAGGGUGUUAACCCUUCCUUGUACAUAACCGACUCCCGAACCUAUUUUUCUGAAUAUUAUAGGCCAAAAUUGUUUUAAUAAAUUAAACCCUUAAGAGGUGACUCGAUCACAGCUCAUAAAAAUUAUCGGUGGCGACCCUUGUUUUAAAAAAGGUGGUUUCAACAGCUUGGCGACUCCGCUGGGGACAAAAAUAAGAGUCAAGCCGCGAGUUGAUUAUUUCUUAUCUUUUUGUCAGAAAUUGUGAAUUCGAUUUAAAUUUAUGAUCUUUUCAUUGCAUUUUAUGGUCUGCAUCAUUUUUAUAUGCUUGCUUUACUACUUCGAGUCUUUUAAUCUUCGCAUAUUGUAUUGCAUAACCGUUCGGUUAUACCCUUUUAAGCGGGAGUGAGAAAUUAUUCUUUCGUGAGGUUUUCACCUUCGUAUAGGAUAGUGGAUUACUUUCAGGAUACAUCCAUACCUAUGUCUUCGUGAGAUUCUCAUCUCCGUAUAGUCAUAGGGAAAUGUAUUCCCCUGAACUGAACUCAGUCCGUAUGAGCCUAUAAUGGGUGAGGAUUGAGGAAUCUGCUGGUUCAGGUACCCUUUCUUUAGAACUAAACCGCAUGUAGUGAGCCCUAAGAGCAUACCCUAGGUAGAACCACUCCAAACCCCUAGUGGUCACCCAAAUAGGUGCUCUAUUUAUUUUUGCUUGCUUGUUUUUGCCUUGUACUAACCUAUUUGUUAUGGUUAUGAGUGCAUUGCAUUUUUAUCAUAAAAAAGAUGUGUUGAUUCACGUUCAGUUGCUAAAUAGAGAGCUUGUCAUGGAAAACGAAUUUCUUGAUAAAGUGGAAGACAAUGCGGUUGUCCGGAUAUGGUCCAAGAAAAUGUGAAGAAAGAAGGGUGAUAGUCUAAUGGAGGACUACACGACCUUGCUUCGUUGCCUGAUGAUUCAAGUUGACAAAGAUUAUUCGAGAGUCUUCAAUGUCCCGACCUUUUUAAAGAAGCUAACGAGCGUCACGAGGAUGAGCGAGUAAUGAGUUGCGGCCCGGAUCAAGCAAAAAAAAGAUAGAGGAGACACCCUUUUUGAAGAGUUCACGAGAUUUAUCUUAACAUCUAGACGAAGAAAAAGAUCAAUCUCUUUGCCUAGAGUAUGAGGGCAAAGCCGUAUAUAUAUCCGCUUUAUGUAAAUAAAUUUGUUUUCUAGUAAAGUUUUUCUAAUAGAAUUGAAUCAGAAUCAACGUCUCUUUUUGCAUUCAUUCCAUUCAUCUGCAUUGCAUUUCAUUGCAUCUAGAAUUUCACAAAAGGACCCUAAUUAAUCGAAAUUGUUAUAGCUACCUUGAAAAACUAACGAAAAUUUACCAAUUAAAUAUUCCUAUGGUACCCAUUGCAAAACUAAAGUAAUGGAUCAAAUAUUAGAAAGAUUAGAACAAAUGCUGAAGGAUAAACAUAACUGCUUUGGCUUAGGGUACAAGCCAGAUACAAGACAAAGAAGAAAUAGGAAAGGAGAACACGUUUGAGCGGGGAUGAGGUCAAAUGGGAGGGAUUAUUCAUCCCAGGCGAAGAAUGCCAAGAGAAGAAAAUAUUGAAAACAUGUUGGGAAACGUUCACAUCAAUGCCAUAUACGAAGAAGCAAUUGAAGGAGUGACCUUGUUAGAUAUCCGCCCUUAUGAACCUAAGAGUGUGCUAAACAAUUGGACUGCAGAAGAAAUUCUUGUAGUGUUUAGAGCUUACUCAUAGUAAUGUUCAGAACACACUUGUUGCUUUUAGCCUAGAAGUGAUAAGAAUCCCUCUGUGAAAUAGGCUCAUGUAUAAAAAUCAUUAUUUUAAUGAAGUACAUCUUUGCAUUCAUUUUGAGCAAAUAUUCUUUUAUUCUUUUCAUACGAGUAAUUAUUUUGGAUUCUUUAAUUCUUUUGGGAUUUUCUUCCAAAAUCAUUCUUUUAUUACAUCCAUAAUCAUACUGUACAAAUAAUGUAAUAGCCUGAAUUUUCAGUGGUGUCGGAAUGGUGAUUCAAGAUCACUAAGUCUGACAAAUGAGUAGAAAAUAUUAUUAAUUUAGUAAGAAUAAGUAAAUGUGAAGUUAGGAAAAUUUUUGAAAUAGUGAAUAGUGUACUAGGAAUAAAUAUUAAAAUAAUUAAAAUAAAAAAUGAGGUAUCGAGACCUCGAAGAUUUUAAACCAAGCCAUAAGUACUUUUAGAAGUAUUUUUAGAGUGUCAUUGAGUUGGUAUUAAAGUUUCGUUAGAAAAUUUUAACGCUCGGAUAGUUAAUUAACCAAAAAGGACUAAAUUGAAAAUAGUGUAAAAUUUGUUAAAUUGUGAUUAAAUAGCUUAAGUGAUUAAAAAGGAGGGAUUUAAAAGGCAAUUAGGCCCAAAUUAUAUGGGCUGGACGGUUGGGUAAGAAAAAUCAGCAGAAUGUAAGGAGAAAACAGGGGCAAAAUUGGAAACUUAACAAAUUAAACAUAUAAAACAAAGACAAAAGUGAAAAAUCUAGAGAUCUGUUCACAAUUUAUCAGCAAAAAUGCCAUAGGAGGUCUGAAAGAAGCUGGUUUUUCAUAUAUUUGAAUCAUGUAAGUUUAAUUCUUGAUUAUUUCUUCUAAUUUUUGUGAUUUUGAUACUUUUACAAUUAGGUCCAACUAAUUAUUUCAUUAGUUUUUGAUUUCAUGGCUGAUUUUGAAAGUUACCAUUGAUGAGUGUUGGAUUUUUAUGAUGAAUAAACAUGGAAUUAAAGCUUUAAUUUUGUUAUAUGAUGAUUUUAUUAAGUAAUUUUGAUAGAAAUUGAUUUUUGGGACCUAAUUGUGAAAAAGUUUGGAAUUAGGGUUUGGUGUUGCGGUUUUGAAUAUGAAAGGCUAUGUAGUAGUCUAAAAUAGUUGGAAAAGGUGUUAAUUGAGAAAAAUUAGAUCAAUUGAGGGGUUAAUUGAGUAGGACCAAAUUGUAAAAACUGUAAAGUUUGAGGUAAAAGUGUAAUUUCGAAAAUUUAAGGGCAUAAAUUGUGAAGUGAAUUAGAAUAGAAUUAUAUGCUGAUGAAUGAAUAAAUUUGUAUUUUAGAUCGAGAACCCGAAGCAAGCCGAGGAAAAGAAAAAGUAGUUGAUUAGUCCCUGAACUUUUACAAAUUCUGCAAAUCGACCCAGGUAAGUUCAUAUGGCUGAAAUUUAAUGAUUAAAUGUUAAUUUCAUGAAUUAUGUAAUGUAUGAUGAAAUGUAUUUAGUGUUGAAAUGAGAGUAAAAUAAAAAUGCGAAAAUCGAAUAAAUGAUCAAAUUAAGCGGAACGCCGGAUUUGAGUACUUCUGAUCAAGAGACAAAGUGAUAAGUGGUAGCUUUAGCUACACUUAUCUGAUCAAGUGAAAAAGUGAUAAGUGCUACACUUAUCUGAUCAAGAGACAAAGUGAUAAGUGGUAGCUUUAGCUCACUUAUCUGAUCAAGUGAAAAAGUGAUAAGUGCUAUACUUAUCUGAUCAAGUGACAAAGUGAUAAGUGGUAGCUUAGCUACACUUAUCUGAUCAGGGCCAAAUGAUAAGUGAUCAUACGUAAGACCAUAGUUAUACUAUGGCCAAGUGAAAGUGAAGUACUCAAUUUUCCGUAACCGUUCCUUAAUUUUGAUCAAGGAUGGUAAGUGACAAAUAGGCCCAAAGAAAUUAUGGUAAAAGAAUAAGUAGUAGUGAGUUUAUACCAAGGAACUCUCCAAAGAUUGUGGUUGACAAGUAAACUUAGUAAUGGUGUAUAUUGUAUAAGUGUACAAAUGUUUGGUAAGAUUUAUGUUUGUGCCUAUGAACUUACUAAGCUUUUCUAUAAGCUUACAUGUGUGUGUUUAUUGUUUUUCUAGAUUAACGUAUUUAUACAUUCGGAGGAUCGGAUCUACUUCGAGAAUCACACUAUCCAGAUAUACUCCGGUAGAUUUUGUUAAACAACUUUUUGGAUUUAUAUGGCAUGUACAGAGAAUUGAAGUAAAAAGUAAUAGAAUGAAUGACUGAGUAUGCAAAGUAAAUUUGAAUGUGAUGGUUGUGUUAGAUAUUGAAAAAUACAUGUUUUUAGUUUGAAAUGGUUGAUUGGCUGAACUUCGUUAGUAUUCAAGUGAAGUAGUUGAAAUACUGGAAUUGGUUGUGAUUUGAAAUUUGCAGGGAAGGUUAGAUAAAUAUAAAGGGGUUAUAUUGAUUUUUUUUUUAAAUUUCAAUGGAAUAAUUUUUGGACAGCAGCAUUGAUGUAACUUUUAAAAAUCACCAAAAAUAGUGGAAAUAGAAUUAGAAGUUGAAUGAGAUAUGAAAUUAAAUCUGAAUGAGUCUAAUUUCACAUGAAAGAAGUAGAAUAAGAAAAAGAGUUAUAUAUUUUUAGAUAUUUGAAUUUUAGUGAAACAGGGCAAGAAUGUUUUUGAAGUCCCCUGUUCUGACUUUAGAAAUUUAGUAAAAAUUGUACAAAAGGAAUUAUGAAUUAUAAUUUAUAUGUUUAAAUUCCGUAAUGAGUAUAUUUUAAGUAGAAAUAAUUGGAACCACCAUAUGAAGUCUUUGCAAUGAGAUAAUUGAAUUUUAGUGACAAGAGGUCAGGAUAGUCAAUUAGUGAAAUAGGGGAGACUUCAACUAAUAAACUGUAUUAAUUUGCUAAACCAAAAAUUCUGAAAAAUUUAUGGUGAAUAUACAUAUGAGUCUAGUUUGAGGGAAAAUUUACGGAUCUAAAUUUUUAGUUUCGUAUCUUGAGUUAUAAUUAUUUUAGUGACUACUGCGCAUGUGGACAGCUUUGUUGUGAAUGGUGAAAUUAAUUUUUAAAGUAAAUUUUUAUGCCCCGAACUUUUAAGUUCAGUCAAGUAACGCCUUAUGCUCGACUCCGGCAACCGUCUUGGGUAAGGGGUGUUAUAAAUAAUUAUUCUUAAAUUCAUACAUUCUUUGUAUAUUAUUUUGUACCUACAAUAGGUCCCUAGAUAUUAACAACAUGAGUGACGUUGCUACAGACUCAGAAUUUCCUUUUAAACAAGACAUGUGUUUAGAGGGAUCCCAUGGCUUUGAAGAUGACGUAGACUGUGGCUUAUCUCUGAAUUUGUUAAGGAUGGUAAAACAAGAGGAGAAGCAAAUCCUACCUCACAAGGAAUCAAUGGAAAUUGUGAGCUUAGAAGGGGGAAAAGAGGUGAAGAUUGAGACUAACAUUGCCACAAAGACAAAGCAUGACCUCGUUGAGUUACUCCAAGAAUUUAAAGAUGUCUUCGCAUGGUCAUACCAGGAUACUCCCGGGUUAAGUACUGGCAUUGUAGUACACUACCUUCUUAUAAAAGAAGAUUGCAAGCCAGUUUAGCAGAAACUCUGAAGGAUGAGGCCUGAUAUUGUGCUAAAAAUAAAAGAAGAAGUUAAAAAGCAAUUUGAUGUUGGGUUCUUACAAGUGGUUAAAUAUUCAGAAUGAGUAGCCAACAUCGUCUCAGUCUCUAAAAAAGAUGGGAAAGUACGAAUGUGCAUAGAUUACAGAGACAUGAACAAGGCCAGCCAAAAAGAAAAUUUCCCAUUGCCUCACAUUGACACUUUGGUGGAUAAUACAGUAGGCUACUCACUGUUUUCCUUCAUGGACGACUUCUCUGGAUACAACCAGAUAAAGAUGCAUCCCAAAAACAUGGGAAAGACUACAUUCGUGACCCUAUGGGGAAUGUUUUGCUAUAAAAUGAUGUCAUUCGGAUUAAAGAAUGUGGGAGCGACGUAUCAAAGGGAAUGGUAACCUUGUUUCAUGACAUGAUGUACAAGUAAAUCGAGGUUUAUGUUGACGAUAUGAUUGCAAAAUCCAGAACAGAAGAGGAACAUGUGUAGGCCCUAAGAAAAUUAUUCUUAAGACUGAGAAAGUUCCAGCUCAAGCUUUCCAACGAAAUGCACAUUCAGAGCUAGGUUAGGAAAGCUGUUAGGCUUCACAGUUAGUGAAAAAGGAAUCGAGAUCAACCCAGAUAAAGUCAAUGCGAUACGAGAUUUACCUCUACCAUGCACUCAGAAGGAAGCUCGAGGUUUCCUAGGAAGACUGAAUUACAUUGCUCGAUACAUUUCACAACUAACCGAAAAAUGUGACACCAUAUUAAAAUAAAAAUAGAUUAAAUUGUAAGUAAAACAUAAUUUAAACAUAUGAAUACAUCAAAUUAAUAAUACUAAAUGAAUACAGUUAUUUAUGAUGAUGUUGUUGCCAAUUCCUAAUUUGGUGUCUAGUUAAUUUGUGACAUCAUAAAUUUAAGUGAUAAAUUUAAGGUUUUAUGUAUUGAUGUGGAUUCAAAUAUCACCAUAAUUUUUGUAAAUAAAAAACUAAUAAGAUAACUUAUAUUAAGUACGAAAGGGUAUUUUUAUAAUUUCUCUAAUCGAGUUGGUGCCCGGUUGACUCAUGACACUAACUCAAUCAGAAGCUUUAAUAAUAAUAUAGAUAUUCAUGUUAAAAAAACAAAAAAAAAGUACUUUAGUUCCAAAUAAUUAUAUAACAAGUAAAUUUAUAAUUGAUGAAUAAAUUUAUAAAUAAUAUAUUUAUAUGAUCUAAUAUAUUAUAUUUAUAUUAAUUAUAUAUCAUCUACAAACUUUGAAGAUCAAUUUAUUAAGUAAAAAUGAAAUUGUUAACACUAAAUCAAUUUUUAGAUUUUGUAUAGAUGAUUUAGUGAUGAUAAAAACAUUAUUAACACUAUUUUUUAAUUAACAAAAAAUUAGUGAUAUAUUUAAAUUAUAUUUAUCAUUUAUUAUUUUUAAUAAUAUUUUUUAAUUAUAUGAAGUAAAAUUAUAUUGUAUACUAAAUAUGGUACAUAUACUCUAAUUAUAACUUGAAAUUUUAUUAUAUAAAUUAAUAUAAAUUUGAAUAACAAAAUAAAAAAAAACUAAUUAGAAUAAUUUUAAAAAACAUUAUUUAAAAGUAGUUAAAAAUCACGUGCAACAGGUGAGAUCAAUGGUCUUUAGAGAAGAAAUGUUGAAGAUCAAAGUUGGAAUCUGGCCUAUAAGGCCUUUAAUUGCUUUAAUAUUAAGCAGUUCCAAACCAAGAAGAUUACCGAUUUCCUCAGGAAUUUGACCUGCACACAUGGUCGAAAAAUCAAUGUGUCAAACUACCUAUUUUGUUAGCAUAAGUCAAAGAGGUUUUCUUUUCUAUUCUACAUAAUUUGCAGAUGUUAGAUUUUAAUAUUUUUAAGCAUAUUUGUUUUCAUCAAAUUAACUAUUUUGAACUAUUUUGCCUUGAAUGAAAUAAAAUGCUCUUACUUUUGUUAUCUAUUACUAAUCAAACUCUUUUAUAAAAAAAAUACUUUAAACUAAAGAAACCAAGAAAAUUCAAUACCUUCUAGGUUAUUCAACCCCAAAUAUAAUUCUUUGAGUCGUGUCGGAUUUCCAAUACUUCUUGGAAUGAUCCCCAUCAAUUGAUUAUAGGAAAAUGACAAAAUUUUAAGGUUGUUGCAUUUGCUUAUACUUGACGGAAUGUUACCAUAUAAUUCAUUCCGACUCAAGUAAAGCCCUUCAAGCUUGGAAAGAUGUGACACAUAUCAUUAGGCAAGCUACCUGAUAGGCUAUUGUUGGAGAGAUCAAUGGCCUUCAGAGAAGAAAUGUUGAAGAUCGAAGUUGGAAUCUGACCUGUAAGGCCUUUAAUUGCUUUAAUAUUAAGCAGUUCCAAACCAAGAAGAUUACCGAUUUCCUCAAGAAUUUGACCUGCACACAUGGUCGAAAAAUCAAUGUGUCAAACUACCUAUUUUGUUAGCAUAAGUCAAAGAGGUUUUCUUUUCUGUUCUAUAGUAAUUUGGUGAUGUUAGAUUUUAAUAUAAUUCAGCACAUGUUUUUCAUCAAAUGAAAUAAAAAGUUUUUCCUUUUGUUAUCUAUUACAAAUCAAGCUCUUUUAUUAAAAAAAUACUUUAAAUUCAAGAAAUCAAGGAAAUUAAUUACCUUCUAAAUUAUUAAACCCCAAAUAUAAUUCCUGGAGUCGUGUUAGAUUUCCAAUACUUCUUGGAAUGAUCCCCAUAAAUUGAUUAUGGGGCAACAACAAAUUUUUAAGGAUGUUUCAUUUGCCUAUGCUUGACGGAAUGUUACCAGAUAACUCAUUGCUAUGCAAGUGAAGCCCUUCAAGCUCGGGAAGAUGUUGACACAUAUCAUUAGGCAAACUACCUAAUAGGCUAUUCCUGGAGAGAGCAAUAGUCUUGAGAGAAAAAUGUUGAAGAUCGAAGUCGGAAUCUGAUCUGUAAGGCCUUUAAUUGCUUGAAUAUUAAGCAUUUCCAAACUAAAAAGAUUACCGAUUUCUUCAGGAAUUUGACCUGCAGACAUAGUCGAAACAUCAAGGUGUUAAAUUUCCUAUUUUGUUAGUGUAAAUCAAAGAGGCUUUUUAUUUUUUUUCGUUAUGAAAUAAUAUGGAUAUGUUCGAUUCUAAUCAUAUUUAAGUAUAUAUUAGUUCUUGAAAGAAUGAGUUCUUAUUUUUGGUAUUUAUAUUGCAAAUAUAUAUUUUUUUAAAUUUAAAAGAAGGGAGGGGGCAAAUGUGUUUAAACUAAAGACAUCAAGGAAAAGGCAUACCAAGUAUAAUUGUUUAAGUUGUGUCAAAUUCCCAAUGCUUUUUGGAAUGAUCCCACUAAAUUGAUUAAUAGACAAUUCCAAAAUUUGAAGGUUGCAGCAUUUGUCUAUACUUGAUGGAAUAGAACUUGAUAAUUCAUUUCUACUCAAGUAAAGCUCUUUCAGCUUGGGAAGAUGGACACACAAAUCAUCGGGCAAGCCACCAGAAAGACUAUUAUCACAAAAAUGAAUCCUUUUCAAAGAAGAAAUGUUAAAGAUGGAAGAUGGAACCUGGCCAGAUAAUUGAUUGAAUCCCAAGUUCAAGAUCUCUAGAUUGGACAAGUUGACAAGUGUUUGAGGGAUCGUGCCUGUGAAGUUAUUAUUUCUCAUUUCCAACCUUUGAACUCUGUGCAAGUUCCCAAGCCAUGGUGGAAUUUCCCCAUUAAGACGGUUGUAGCUUAAUCGAAUGAUCCUCAAACGAUGCAAUUGGCCUAAUUCUUUAGCCAGAUGGCCGUAGAAAUUGUUGUUGCUCAAGUCGAUAGAAAAUAGAAAUGAAAGAUUUCCAAGGUGUGGAGGGAUAGUACCCCUAAGAUUCAUGUUUGUAAGAUUAAUCAAAGCUACAACUCUUUCAUGGAUGAUGCCACAAGAAACACCAACCCACUUACAGACAGAGGUAGAGUUCGUCCAAUUGUUUGCCAACACAUUUUGAGGAUCGACAAUGCGAUCUUUAAACUCAAAGAGUGCAAACUGAUCGGAGUUGAGAUUCCGGACUGUCAUAGCCAAGGAAACAAUAGAACAUUGUAUGAAUAAAAGUGAAAGAAGAUGAAAGCAAGUGUUGUAGUUCAUGAUGGCAAGACGAAAUAAGCCAGGAAAAGGGAAGUUGAAUUGAUGAAGAAAUAGCCAGCCAACAUGCUUAAAUAGGCUUCAACCCUUGCACACUUCUCAUACAUAAAGUUCGCUGCCAUUACAACAAGAAAACUCAUAUCUCCAUUCGUACCUAUCCAUACUUUAUUUGACUAACUUUUCCCUAACAAGUGUUCAGUAAGGAGAUAAAUCAGUUUGGAGCUAUUCACCGGCUUCUCCAAUCUUGGUUUCAAACUCCUAACCCAUCAAUUCACUUUAAUUGAAACGAUAUACACGAGUCUUUCGGCUUAUAUUUUUAAUUUAAUUUUUGUUACUUUUCAUAAUAUUUUUUGAGAAAUCCAAAUAUUCCAGUCUGAAAUUUCUUCAUUGCCACGUCUAUCUCCUGGGUAAGUCCGUGGUUAGGCAGCCCACUUUGGGAGCAGGAUUGUAAUUGUAAUUCUAUCCGACUCAUUUUACUAUUUAGAAAUAUAAAAGUAAUAUUAUAUUAUUUUUUAUAUUUUUAUAAAUUUAAUUUUAAUUAUAAUUUUUAAACAAUAAAACGAGUCAUUUGUAUUUGCCUAGUCUAAAUUGAAUCAGGAGUCAAAAAAAUUUUAAUCAUAAUUUACUAUUAUUUUAAUUAAUUAAAAUUUAACCUACUACAACUAGUAGUUGCAGAAAAAAUGUCAUUCCUUUAGAAAAACGAAAAUCCUUUAGAAAAAUGAGAACUUAUGAAGCAUUCAAUAAGAGUCAUUGGAAUAAAUGGUAACGAAAUCAUAAUUCAAUAUAAAGCUAAAAAAUGUACCAAUCUAUAUAAAUAAUGUAAGAUUUGUGAUACCUAAAUUAUUAUAUUUUCCAUAAAUAUAUGAAGAUAUUUUAUUAGGAAAUAAUUUUAUAUAUAAAAUUUUUUAUUUUCUUUUGAUAGAAAUUUAAUUAUGUUAUCUGUAGAAAAAAAUAUUUAUAGAAAUAUUAUUAGUAGAAAAUCAUAAAUUUGUGUGUGGCAAAAAAAAUUCACCACCAAGAAAGGGGCAAAUUAAACAACUUGAAACAAGUCAUUGGUUGUUUAAAAUAUUAGAUAAUAAUUUCAGUGAAGAAUCAUUAAAAUUAUGACAAAAUAACCCUAGAUAUUGUAGUAUUAAAUUGGAAAAUCUCAAUAAUAUUAUUAGAGUAAAACCUAUGAUCUAUCUAAACAAGAUAUAGAAGAUUUUGAUAUACAAAUUAAGGUUAGAAAUCAUGCGGAAAUAAAAAAGAAAAAAAAGCUAGUAUGGUCAUUAAUUAUAAAAGAUUAAAUCAAAAUAUUAUUUUUUUAUAGUUACUUGAAUUAAUCAGGCUAAACAAACAAAAUAUUUUAGUAAAUUUGACUGCAAAUCAGGAUUCUAGCAAAUCAUGAUAACAGAAAAGUCCAAACCUUUAACGGCUUUUAGUGCACCCAAUGGACAUUACCAAUGGAAAGUGAUGUCAUUUCAAUUAUGUGAUGCACCACAAAUCUUCCAAAGACGAAUGGAUUUUAUAUUUAAUAAAUAUAAAAAAAUUCUAUGUAGUCUACAUAGAUGAUAUUUUUUAUAUUUUUAGAUACACUAGAAUUACAUAAGAAACAUUUAAAUAUUAUUUCUUAAGAAUUCAUAAAAUAUAGAAUCAUAUUAAACCCUAAAAAUAUAGAGUUAGAAAAAAGAGAGAGAAUUUUUAUAAUAGUGGAAAUAAAAAAUUGUCCUCAAAAGAUUGAAGAAAAAAAGAACUUCCAACAAUUUCUAAUAUAUUCCUCCCAAAUUUUCAGUUUCAAUUUUAUUACAGAAUUUCUUUGCCGACAAUAAGAAAUUAAGAGCGCUCUUUAAGUUGAAUAUAGUCCGUCAGAUAUGGCUAUCUAUAACAUGGAACCUUUGGUUUUCAAGCUGAAUAGGAGAAUUGAUUCACUUGAUAAGUAUGAAAAAUUGAAACUGCUAAAUUUAAGUGCACUAACUCUGGAUAUCAUCAUUAUUUUUCUGUACAUUAAAGUACCUGUUUGAUAUGCGAUUUCUGCCUCAAACUAUCAACAUCUUUAACAUCCUUUUGCUAUAGUUAGCAUGGGUACUUCCUUUUAGAUUAACAGUUAGGUUUGAACUGUGAAUUAGAUUUCUGUGGCUGCUGGGAUUGAAGAAGUUAGUAUGCGAAUGACAUUGGACAAAUUUGGCAAAGUCUUCUCCAUCAGUGAAGAAAACCCCUUGGCGUAUGAAAAAUGUUCACCAUCUUAGACAUUUGUUUUCUUAUUGUAAGAAUAUUUUUAACAUUGUAACUUUUAACAUUAUUGUAAGAAUAUUUUGAAUUAUACUUCAGUUAUCAAUUUAUAUCAUAUAUCUUUUGUUGAAUUUGAAGUAUAAUUUAUAUUUGCUGUUUUUGGUUAGAUUUCAUGCUAUAGGAAGGGUUGUAUAUGGAUAGAAAUUGAAUGUUACAAAUCUGCCAAAGUUAGUGGCGUUUUUUCAUAAGAGCUGCUAAAGAAUGCUAUUUUUGGCGGUGUUUGUAAUAAAAGAGCCGCUAAAGGUCAUGUUCUUUAGCGAUGUUUGUGGGUAAAGCGCCGCUAAAGAUCAUGUUCUGUAGCUGUGUUUGUGGAUAAAGCGCCGCUAAAGAACAUGACCUUUAGCAGCGUAUUUUCACAUAAACGCCGCAAAAUUUAGCGGCUUUGUCUAUAGCGACUUUUUUUGCAGCGCUUUAAGUUUUAGCGGCGCUUUUAGGCCUAAAAAAGGGCCGCUAAAAGCCUGUUUUGCUGUAGUGAGCAUAUUUACAUUUUCGUCCCAAUUUCAACUAACACCCCAUCUAUUUCCCACUUCCCUUUUUCGGGCAAUUUCAACUAACACCUUCAUAUCAAACAUAACUAUUUUUCAAUUUUUCUUCUUUAUUUCAUUAAUAAAAUUAUCAAUCUAUUUGUUUUUAAAUAUAUAAUUUCAUUAAUAUUUUUUAAAUUAUAAUAUAAGAGUUGUUGUUUAUUUAUAGUUUUAUUACAUUAUUUACUCUCUCUUUUCUAUCAAGUUUUUUAAAUUAUAAUAUAAGAUUUAUUUUAUCAAUUUGUGGCUUAUCCAGUAUUCAUCUAUUUUAAUAAUAACUUGAGUUCCAGUCAUUAUCAUACCAGAAAGAGUUCCAUUUAUUCUUUAUCGUAAAUUUUAUAAAAAAAUAUACAUUUUAUUAUAAUACUAUAUGUGUUACGAAUAAUAUUUUAUUGUGGAUGCCCAUAAUUUUCAAAGUUGUAACCUCUAAUGUAGUAACCUUAAUGAAAUUAUGAGGCUUUUAUAUUGUAAUCAAGCCUCUAUUUAUUCUUUGUAACUUAAACAGAAGCAUAUUUUCUAUUAUAUUGAUAUUUUUUAUAGAUAUAUAUAUAUAUAUAAGGAAUCAAAUAAAAAGUUAUUUACCUUUCUAUUAUAUUGAUAUUUUCUAUUUGAUUUGUUCUUUUCUUUCACUAUUCCAUAAUAUAUUAUCAGUACGAUUUUAACCAAGAGUAACAUGUUAUUAGAUUGUGUCAAAAUUUUGUUGAGAAUCAUUAGAUUGUUUCCUUUUUCUUCUAUUUAGCCCCAAAUUGCACCCCUACACAAAAUUCAACAAAAACAUGGAAAAAUUAGUGGUGCACUCUCAUAAAUUAACCAAUUUAAUUACAUAAAAUAUGUAACUUUAGCAUUUUAUCAAUCAUGUUCUUUAGCGGCAUUUGUGGGUAAAGCGCCGCUAAAGGUCAUAUUCUUUAGCAGCGUUUGUGAUAAAAGUGCCACUAAAUAUCAUGUUCUUUAGCGGCGUUUGUGGAUAAAGCGCCGCUAAAGAACAUGACGUUUAGCAGCAUUUUUUUACAUAAACGUUGUAAAAUUUAGCGGCGUUGUCUAUAGCGACGUUUUUUGCGGUGCUUUCAAAUAGUUUUAGCGGCGCUUGUAGGCCUAAAAAAAUGCCGCUAAAAGUCUGUUUUGCUGUAUGAGCAUAUUUACAUUUUCGUCCCAAUUUCAACUAACACCCCAUCUAUUUCCCACUUCCCUUUUUCAGCCAAUUUCAACUAACACCUUCAUUUCAAACGUAAUUGUUUUUCGAUUUUUCCUCUUUAUUUCAUUAAUAAAAUUAUCAAUCUAUUUGUAUUUUAAAUAUAUAAUUUUAUUAAUAUUUUUUAAUUAUAAUAUAAGAGUUUUUGUUUAUUUAUAGUUUUAUUAUAUUAUUUACUCUCUUUUUUCUAUCAAGCUUUUUAAAUUAUAAUAUAAGAUUUAUUUUAUCAAAUGGUGGCUUAUCGAGUAUUCAUCUAUUUUAAUAAUAACUUGAGUUCCAAUCAUUAUCAUACCAGAAAGAGUUCCAUUUAUUCUUUAUCGUAAAUUUUAUAAAAAAAUAUAUAUUUUAUUAUAAUACUAUAUGUGUUAGGAAUAAUAUUUUAUUGUGGAUGCCCAUAAUUUUCAAAGUUGUAACCUCUAAUGUAGUAACCUCAAUGAAAUUAUGAGGCUUUUAUAUUGUAAUCAAGCCUCUAUUUAUUCUUUGUAACUUAAACAGAAGCAUAUUUUCUAUUAUAUUGAUAUUUUUUUAUAGAGAUAUAUACAUAAGGAAUCAAAUAAAAAGUUAUUUACCUUUCUAUUAUAUUGAUAUUUUCUAUUUGAUUUGUUCUUUUCUUUCACUAUUCCAUAAUAUAUUAUCAGUACGAUUUUAAUCAAGAGUAACAUUGUAUUAGAUUGUGUCAAAAUUUUGUUGGACUUCAAGUAUUGGAAUUUAAUUGUUUAAGUUAAGAAUCAUUAGAAUCAAUGGCUAUUUGAGAUAUGCUUGAGGAUGAUCUCAUUCUAUUCAUCACAAAGGUGGAGGUUAGAAAAUCUUUAUGUUUAAACAUUUAUAGCUUUAAAGUUAUUUUAACCUCUUAUUGUGACCUUAUAAUAUUUUGUAAUUUUUUGUAUUAUGGUAUAUAAAAAAAAUCUAACCAUAGUGAUUGAUUAGUAAUAUGAAUUUGUUAUUUGUUAUGUUUAAUAUAUAUUUUAUUUAUACUUAUUCAUUUUAUUUUUAUAUGAGUAAAUGAAGUGUUUGAAGAUUCGAAAUUUUUAUCAUCCAAGUUGAAAAUAAGUGCAAAAGUGUACAUUAUUUAAAAUAAAUUACGCAUUCAUUAAUGUUAUAUGAUAAAAUCAUUACAUGUUCUAAAGAACUAAUAUUGCAUCAAACUGUAAAAAGCUCUUGAAGAGUUAAUAUUUUACCUCCUUGUGAUACAAAAUCAUAUACAAUAUGAUAUUAUUUUUCAAAUCGAGUAGAUAUAUGUUGAGGGAAAUCUUUAUGUGGUUUACAUUAAAACCAUGGAUAGAAAUGACAUGAGAUACUCGUGUAUUUUUAUUAUAAAUAUUCCUUGAAGGAAGACACUUCACUUGUAUGAUUGACAUAUGAGAUAGUGGCAAGAAGUUCAUAGUGUUGGUAUGGUCGUCUAGAUCAUCUCAAAUCAAUAAUGAUGCAAAAUAAUUUGAAGAGAAUUUAUAUGAUUUUAUUGAAGAAUGAGAAGAUAUUUUCAUUUUGAUAAUUGUCAUCAAUACUAGUUCUUUGGAAAAAAAAUAUUGAACUAACAUAAAGUUAGAGGUUGGUUGCAUUUUUUGAUGAUAUCCAAAUAAUAUAUGAGCUCAUGUAUCACAUGUAUGCAACCCAAAGUUUACAGUAUUAUUUCUUGAAAUAAUUUGAUUCUACACAAUCUCUAUAGUAUGCAAUUUGUGCUAACAACGUUGGUGCAUUAUAUCCUAAGCUUGAUUUUCGUAGUUUUAGCUGAGAUAAUAUUAAGUUGUCUAUGCCUAUAUAUGUUAUACUUAAUGGUUAGCAAAAUUGUGCCUCCAUUUAAUUGCUUAACCAUUAAUAUAAGAAUAACUUUAAAAUAAGCAUGUAAUUUUAUUUGCAUAGAGUCAACAUGUAAGAAACAUUUGCCCCAUGAGAAUUGGCUUUCAUUUAUAAGCCAAUAGGUUUCAUAUGACUAUUUGGAUGUAAAAUAUCUAUUUUAUAUUCCACCAUAAUGCACUAAGAUGGUCCAUCAAGUAUGAAGUUGAGAAAAUUUAGAAUUUUUAUUUGAUGGUAAAAGUUGAAAAGAGAUAUAUACUUAUAAUUUUGAAAAAAAUAGUCAUGUUGCAAAUUUUUCUCAAUAUUAGGGGGAGACAAGUUGGACAAAUAAGGAUAAUUAUGUCAUCACUUUUUGUGAUCCCUCACUAAUAUUAUGUGCACAAAGUUUGAAGGAAAAAAGUAUUUGCUAGACAUGUUUAGUGAUGACACUUAGAGAUUGUAUAUACUAGAUGAUACAUAUACCAGCUAAAAUGUUCCAAAUAAUUAUGAGUCCUAGAAGGACAUAGUGAUAAAAAUAAUUUUUGGGCACGCUAGAAGGAUAAAAAACUAGUUCAUUCUAUAAAUCAAAAAAUUCUUGAAAGAAAAGAGUAAGAAAUGAAGCUGGCCACACAUUAAAGGAAACGAGUACUCAUGAAGAGACCUAAGGCAUAACUUUUAAUAAAACCCCAAAAGAGGUUCAAUACAUGGAAUUAUGAAUAUAAUAAGAUAUCUCGAUUAGUUAUAUCAUAACUAAAGAUGAUGGGGUUGAUAAAAGGAAAUUGUUGUUAACAACGAUAAUCUAAGUAGAACAUUUCAAUAUUAUGGUAAAAUGAGUAUUUUGAAUGAAAAUAUACUUGAAAGUAUUUAGAUGGGAACAACUCAUCAAAAUAAAUAGACGUUUCUAUUAUAACUUAUGAAAUGUGUCUCGGACAUGAAGUCCAAACAUUCGACAGGUGUAAAGCCAAGUGGAGUAUAUGUUAGCAUAAUAGUGAAAAAAUACAAAUCAUAAUAUAUAAAAUUGACUUGUAAGACAAACUUUCCCAAGACACUUGAUUUUGAUUAUGAAAAAUGAUUAAUUUGUGAUCUUAUCAAUUGAACAUACUUUGUAUAAUCAACAAAUUAUUAAUUAACCUCAUUUAACCAAUUUCCUUCAACACAUUUCAAAUCAAAUUAAUGUGUUGAGCACGCCCUUAACCCUUUUUCUUGAUUCAUUGCAUAGUCUAUUUCCAAGUACCAUAAUCAUCAACAUUUCAAUAUAUAAAGUCAUAACAUAAUGAAUCAUAGUUAGAAUUUUUUUUACCCUAUUAACCAAGUAUGGAACAAAAAUAAAAACCUAAUUUGUCAAGCUCAUUCAAUCAGCUUAUAUAUUAUAAGAAGAGCCUAAGUAUAAAUCCUAUACAUGAUUUCAAAUUCAACUAUUUAUAUUUGAGAUUCAAUUUAAAAUUCAUACUGAAAUUAUCAAAUUAACUCGUAAGCUACUCACGCUAAACAUUAAGGUACUCGAAUUCAAGUGGCUAGAUAUCAUAAACACUUUUAGCUUGUAAAACUAUUUCUAAGGGUCAGCCCAGAAUCAUGGUUGAACCCAAAAUCUGGUAACAAAAAUUUAAUUGAGCCAUCAGCCUAAAACAAAAAAGGCUUAAAAGGUUGGCACCCGAACAAUCAAAGAUAAACACCACCAUAUGCCACUCCCUGAAUCCGAUACAUACAAUAACACCCUUCACCACUUUUAUUCUUCUCCUUUUUUUUAACCUCAAUUUGGAUGGUCGCAUUUCUCUUUUUAGUGCUUUAUAGGGUUUGGGCUUUCAGAAUCCUCAGAGAUGCAAUUCAUGGAUCCCUCUAAGAAAUGCAAGCUUGAUGAAAAUGGUAUUAUUUCAACGGCAUCAGAACCUGACCCAAUCACCAAACUAACCCCACAAGAUGGCCGCAAGCUAAUCGAGCAAUUUAUCGUCGAUCAACUCCUUGACGUCCUCCAAGAUGCUGUUUGUUGUCACCUUGAUGUUCUUUCCGCCGUACACUCUAUUGCCGAUCAAGAUCCAUCUCAAAGGAAGCUUUUCAUCCGUGGUUGGGUUGGGAUACUACAACCCAACCCAACCCACAUUAGCAUACUACCAUGCGGUAACUUCUAGUGAUUUCUGUCUGUAACAUUAGACAGGUUAACAGUUAAAUCGUUCAACUGAAAGAUUUCUUUGAAGGAAGAGGUCAAUUGAUUUUUUUUGGAAUCAUUGUGUACUCAGUUGCAUUUAAGACGGGUAUCAUUCAUAAAGUAUAUAUCUACAUCAAGAAUGGUAGCCUCUUAUAUUAUAUUCAUGUAUUUAUUUUGCAUCUUUAAUUAUAAUAGGAUUUUUUUUGUUUAUUUAUAGUUUUAAUUAUAAUAUUUUUUAAAUAUGCCAAAGUAAAUUAUGUACCAAUUUUAAACUUCUCCUAGGUAAUUUAACGUAAGGGCAUUUAUGUUAUUUUACCACUUAUGAUAAAACUAACCUAAUUUUAGAUCUAAGUGUUUACCAACCUUCUUUUAGUCAAAUUAUGCAAGCCUAAAAUUUUUAGCUUAAUUUGAGUUUGUUUACUAUGUCUAAUUCAAGUUUUAUUAUUAAGAACUAAAUUGUAACUUAAACAAAUUAGAAUACCAAUUUAAAGAGACAAAAAUUCAAAGCCCCAAAACCCACACGGGCAUGUGGGUAAGUGACACAGGCGUGUGGAAACUGGAGCUAUCACACACGGGUGAGUGGGACUGAAAAAUAUGAAAUAAAUUAAUCCAUUUAAAUUUCCAACAACCAUGCUAUACUACCAAACCAAAUAAUGUUAGAAGCUUUGAAUAGGGGCGAAUCUUAAAAAAAAUAGAAGAAUUAGAAUUAAAUUAUAAAAUUUUGAGAAGUUGUCAUGUAUUAAUUUAUUAUUUUUUAAAGGGUCUUAAUAGAUUUUUUUUCCCCAUUUUGGUUUGGCCAAUACCCCUGUCUGCCUCUUUCAAUUUGCUUCAACCCUUAGCCCAAUAUUCGAUUUGUUGUGGAAGUUUGACGCAUAAAAAUUCCUUUUUUAGAGGUUUAAAUUAUAAAUUUUUAUUAACAAAAUAUAAAAGAAAAAAACAUGUGUAGACAAGCCAAGAAACCUUUGGGAUCAUACAGGUGAUUUUGAGAUGUUCAUGGUUAUUUUGGUGGAGAGGGUAAAAAAGAAACAAAUGAUUCAUUAUAUAUGAUAUAAUUAUGAAAUUCAAGCCAUAUAUUGUAUGUUUCAUCCAUACAAAUUUCUUGUAGCAUUAAAUGACUCGUAGGCUUGCUGAAUUUCUUUGAAAGGCCCAAAGGCAAUUUAACAUUCACAAAAUAAUCUCUAAAUAGUGUAAAGACAAAUCAAAUCCACAGUAGCAUUAGAGUUGAUUAAGCUAAGCAUUGGCAAAUAUUACUUUGAUUUUGCAUGCAAUAUUGGCAAAACCCCCUCUUACAUUAGAAAAACAACAUAAUCCAUGAAACAUUGAUAGCCCAAUACAAAUUUCAUCGAGAAAAAAGUCUCUUUGUUUUGUAGAACAUGAUAGUAAAGAUGUGGAGUUUCGUUCUUCUUAUUGGCCUCCUUUAGUUUUCCUUGAUCAACAACCACUAGCCAAAAACACAAUUAGAUUAGAUUAUGAAUGAUACUUUCAACUAUGACAAUAUUAAAUACAAACCACUCUAAAUAACUCUAAAUAAAUGGAAAGCAGCAAAUUACCAGACGAGGCAAGCUAGCUCAAUUAAGACCAUUGUGUUAUACUUGUCUCUGAAUUGAAAAAUUUAGAAGGAAAUAAAGAGAAAGACUUAGAAAAUACUUGAAAACAGAAAAAAAAAUUAUGUCAUUUAAAAUAAAAAAUUUCUAUUCAAGCCAUUUAAAAUUUGUAAGAUUUUUAAAAUUUUAAAAUGAUAAAGGUAAAAUUGUACUUUGGCACCCCAAAAAUGAUAAAACUUUGAUUUAAUUAUUUAAAAAUUAUAAAAAUAUAGGCUAUUAAAAUGGUGAAAUUAUAUUUUUACUAUAGUAAAAAUUACAAUUUAAUUUCACCCCUAAAAGGAUUUUCUGGCUUCGCACCUAAUAAAAUCUUUGGCAAAAGACUAAAAUAAAAUUAUACCAUGAAUGGAAAAAGAAACUAAUAAAAUCCAAUCUAACAAAGAAAAUAACUUGAUGUCCAAAAGCUACCAUAAACCGUAAUUCAUGGGAAGGCUUGUUGCUUAUUUUAUUGGUUUCCAUUUUGAAAGAAGUUUGAAUUUUGAAGAGAGCCUACUACGUGAAAGCAAAAGAAAAAAAAAUAGUUUAUAUGAUUAAAAUUCCAGAAUAGAUUAAAAAUGUUGAAUUAAAGAUAAAAUUAAGUGUGAAUUAAUAACCACAAGUGUACUCUUUACUCACCAUCUCUGUUAAAAAUGUUGGAUGUUGUUUAGCAACCUUUGUUUGAUUUUCUUCAGCUCAACCACAACAUCUUUCAUAUCUUUUCUUUCUUCUGGUAACUCAGCUGAACAAUUCAAAGCCAACUCCAUGAUAGAUGAAAUACAAUUUGCUUUAACAACAAUGUACUCAUCCUCUCUUCUUAAUAAAUCAACAUCUGCAAUUUCUAUCGCUCCUUUAGGCAAUGAUCUUUCCAUCCAAUGCCUUAUACUCUCUUCUUCAACAAAAACCUUAUCAGUUGGCUUUUUCUUUGUGAAAGUUUCUAUAAGGACGAUCCCAUAACUAUAGACGUCAGAUUUUAUAGAAACAAUUCCUGCUGAUCCAAAUUCUGCAUUUCAAGUAUAAUUAGAACAUCAUUCAUCCUCAAUUAUUUCUAAAACGCUUAUUCAAAUAUCUAUCCACAUACACGUGAAACAAGAAUAUAAAAUACAAAUUAGGAAAAUAAUCAUACAAAAAUAAAAAAAAGAAUUCACCUGGUGCCAUAUACCCAAUAGUUGCAAGAGUCAUGGUUUGCUUCAUUACUUCACCUUCUCCCAACAAUUUGGCAACGCCAAAAUCUCCAACAUGUGCAACCAUGUCUUCAUCUAGUAAAAUAUUGCUUGGUUUUAUGUCACAAUGAAUUAUAGGUGUUGGAUGUCCAUUGUGGAGGUGUUCUAUAGCUACCGCAACAUCUAUCAUUAUGUCGACCCUUUGUAUGAUACCAAGGAAACAAUUUUCAGAAUGUAACCAUUUCUCAAGGUUUCCAUUAGACAUGUAAUCAAGCACCAAGGCUUUGAAGUCAACACUUGAGCAGUAAGUAAUGACCUUCACAAUAUUACGAUGAACUAUAUUAAGCAUAGCAUCACAUUCAAUGUCAAAACUCCUAAAUGCUCCCUCUGUUUGCAAAUUGAAAACUUUUAUUGCAACUUCCAUUCCAUCUGAAAGCCUCCCUUUAUAUACAUAUCCAAAACUCCCUGAACCAAGCGUAUUGCUUUCCUCAAAUCCAUUAGUUGCUCGUGAAAGUUCAGCAUGUGAAAUUCUUCUCAGUGUCUUCAAAGACAACAAAUCAUCUUUAACUGGUAGAGCUGUACUCCUUUGGCAUCUUCUAUACAUAAUAGUUAAGACUAUUAGUACUAGGACAAUACCAAUUGUUGGUAAACCAUACCUAAAAGCAUGCAAUAUAAUCAUUUGGGAGUUUUUGUGGAUGUCAUUUUUGCAAGGUGGGACUAGCAAUCUAGGUGGACCACAAAGUGCACAAUUAUUCAUGAAUGAUGUGCUAGAAAAGUUUGAAAAACAUCCUUUGCUGGGAAUUUCCCCUUCAAGUCUAUUGAAAGACACAUUAAAAUACUUUAGAUAUAAAAGCUUUUCCAAAGAUUUGGGAAUGACUCCAGAGAGAUUGUUAUUGCAUAAAUCCAAGAAUUCCAAACUAAUCAACCCAUCAAAUGAUUCAGGGAUAUGACCAUGUAGUAUAUUAUUUGAUAAAUCUAAUGAAACCAAAGUUUGAAGACCCCCAAAUGUGGAUAAGAUAUCGCCCAUGAGAAGAUUCCUUGAUAAAUUUAGUCUCAGUAGACUCCUAAAGUUUCCAACAUCAAUAGCAUGCGAAUUGUGAAGAUGGUUUGAUGAUAAAUCUAUUUCUAAGAUAUCUUUAAGAUUCCAUAAAGUUGAGGGUAUUGCGGAACUCAAUUUGUUGGAAUCUAACCAAAGAUAUCUCAAAGCAGAAAUAUUACCUAAACAAGAGGGUAUGGAUCCAUGCAGCUUAUUCAACCCUAAAUACAUCUUGAAUAGUCUCUCCAAACCACAGAGGCUUUCUGGGAUAGGCCCUUCUAAUUUAUUAGAGGAAAGAAAUAGACCUUGGAGAUUUAUCAUUCCUCCUAUUGAUGCUGGAAUCAAUCCACUUAAUUUAUUAUAGCCAAGUUGUAAAACCAACAUGUUGCUUAAGUUACCUAUUUCCAUAGGAAUAAUGCCUUGAAGCUCACACUCUGUGGCACGAAAGUAUUGAAGGGAUUUUGAAAGGUUCCCGAAAUAAGUAGGAAGAACGCCACUCAAUGGAUUUCCUGAAACAAUUAUUCUUUUCAAAUGCUUGCAAUUCGUCAAAGAAGAAAGAAAGCUCCACUCAUGAUCAGUAGCAGAUCCUGUGAUCAAAUUAUUGUUUACGAUUCCGAACCAUUCAAGGUGUCUUAAGCUGCCAAGCAUUUUAGGGAUUGGGCCAGAGAAUAAGUUUUCUGACAAGGAUAGAAUCUUAAGCAUGGAAGCAUUGGAGAUAGAGUUGGGAAUGUUUCCGCUAAGUUUAUUUCCCCACAGUAAAAGAAUCUGAAGCUUUGGAGCAUUGGUAAUGGGUGGUAAAUUACCUGUAAAAUAGCAUCUUUUAGAAAACAUAUUCAUUGAAUACCAAAUUCACAAAAUAUAUAAUACAUUAAAAUAAAAACUGUAAAACUUUAAAUCAAUUAAGAAUAAAAUUUUGGCAUGGAAAAAUGUGAUGAAAUCAAUUAGAAAGUUGAGACAUAAUAAGAAGUUUUGAGUAGUAAUUAGUCCUUGUGAUUUGUAUAGACAAAACAUAUAAUACACUGAUAAUUUUUUUAAAAUAUUGUAAAACCUGAAAUAAAAUAAAAAAUAAAAGUUUGGCACAAGAAUGUGGCAUCUAAUCAUUCUUAAAAAUAAGACUAACAUUAAAUAAUAAUUAGUUAUGAUUUGAGAAACAAAAAUGUUAAAGAUGUAAACUGGUAUGAUUUUUAUCUAUUGGGUUAAUUAUUUAUUUUUAUUAAAUUAUAUAUAGUGUAAAAUUUAAAGAUUAUUAUUUGCUCAAAAUUUUUGUAUUUUUCGUAUAUUUGAAAUUUAAUCUUUAUAUUUUUUUAUUUUCUGUGAUUUAGUCUCUCUACUUUUUAAAUUGAAAAUUUUAAGUUUAUUUAUUAACACUGUUAAAAAGUUUUUGUGUUAGUAUGGCAUUUUGAAAAAUAAAAUAAACUUGAUAUCUAUGUUUUUAAUUAUUCCAAAUACUGUUUUACUAUUCCAAGAUAAAUUAUUUGUGUCUAGACCAAUAUCUGAAGAACUAUUGUUGCAUGUUUAAUUAUUCUAAAGAAUUGUUGAUUGAGUCUUAGUUGAAGUGCACUAUUCUCCUAUUUAUGAAUUGGGGAGUUGAUAAAGUACUAAAUUUUGAUAUAUUUUAAAAAAUUAAAAAUUUAUUAAAAUAUUUUUAUAAAAAUUGAUUGUACCAAAAUAUACAAUUUUAAUAUCAAAUUUUUAAUUUUUUAAAAAUAUUAGCGAAUAUAUACUUUAUUUCAAGUUACACAAUUUUUACUAGUUUUUAACUUUUUUUUUAAAUUUUUAUCGUCUUUUAUAAUUUCAUAUAAUUUUUUAUAAUUUUUUACAAUAUUUACAAUUUCUAACAAUUUUUAAUAAUUUUAUUAUUUAUUAUAAAUUUAAAAAUUAACAAAUUUUUAUUUUUUUAAAACAAUUAUAUAUUUAUAAUGUAGUUAUUUUUUUAUAAUUUUUUUUGAAAUUUAAAGAUUUUUUUGGUUUUUUCUAGAUGAUGAUGCCAUCAUGAUGUCAUCAUAUGCCACAUGGCAAUUUAUAAUUAGUUGACUAUCUCAAUCUAUUUUUUUAACGUCCAAUGGACUAAAACAAGAACACCUGAUAAUGUUAGAGACUACACUAGGAAUGUUUGAUAAUAUUAGGUACUAAAGUGGGCAAAAAAAAUUAAGGACUAUAUUAAAAAUAUAUCUAUAAUAUAUAUAAAUGCAUGGAUUUUGAGAAACUUUUGAAAUGACAAAUAUAUAGUCUUUGUUUUUUUUUACUAUAUUAUUGAAUUUUUUAUUUUAAAUAUUUUUUUAUUACUUUUAAGAUUUAUCAUAUGUAUGGAUAAAAAUUUUGGUUUUACUAAAAUAUUUGGUUAAAUAAAUUCACUUUAUAAAAAAAUUUAGCAUCCUUAUAAAUAACAAUUUUGAUUCCAUUAAAAAAAUUAUUUAAUAAUAUAUAAUAAAAAUUUAAAAUUUAUAUUGAAUCACUUUAUACUUAAAUUAUUAUUAGAAACUUUAUCAUACACAUAUGUGUAUGAGAACCACGUUUUCAGAACUUAAAUUUGUGUUCUAAAAUAACUUAUGAUAAAUAAUUAAAUGUAUAAUUUGAAAUUAUAUUGAAAUAAAAAUAGAUUAAAUUGUAAGUAAAACAUAUAUAAUUUAAACAUAUGAAUACAUCAAAUUAAAAAUACUAAAUGAAUACAUUUAUUUAUGAUGAUGUUGUUGUCAAUUCAUAAGUUGGUGUCGAGUUAAUUUGUGACAUCAUAAUUUUAAGUGAUAAAUUUAAGGUUUUAUGUAUUGAUGUCGAUUCAAAUAUCACCAUAAUUUUUUUAAAUAAAAAACUAAAGCACCCUCAAAUAAUAUAACUUAUAUUAAAUAUGAAAGGGUAUUUUUGUAAUUUCUCUAACGAGUUGGUGCCCGGUUGACUCAUGACACCAACUCAAUCAAAAGCUUCAAUAAUAAUAUAGAUAUUCACGUUUAAAAAAAGUACUUUAGUUCGAAAUAAUUAUAUAACAAGUAAUUUUAUAAUUGAUGAAUAAUUUUAUAAAAAUAUAUUUAUAUAAUCUAAUAUAUUAUAUUUAUAUUAAUUAUAUAUCAUCUACAAACUUUGAAGAUCAAUUUAUUAAGUAUCAGGAAAAGAAAAAAUGAAAUUGAAUUAACACUAAAUCAAUUUUUAGAUUUUGUACAGAUGAUUUAAUGAUGAUAAAAACAUUAUUAGCACUAUUUUUGAAUUAACAAAAAAUUAGUGAUAUAUUUUAAUUAUAUUUUUUAUUUUUUAUUUUUAAUAAUAUUUUUUUAAUUAUAUGAAGUAAAAUUAUAUUGUAUACUAAAUAUGGUACAUAUACUUUAAUUAAAACUUGAAAAAUUAUUAUAUAAAUUAAUAUAUUUUAAUUAUAUUCAACCAUUUGAAUAACAAAAUUAAAAAAAACUAAUUAGAAUUAUUUACUUUUUAAAGUUUAAUGGAAAAUAAAAAAUUAAAAAUAAAUCAAUUCAUAUAAAUCUUAUUGUUUAUUAUCAGAUUAAAAUGAUAAAAGUAUAUGACAUACAUAGAAGAAACAAAUUCAACACAAUGUUUUUGGAGUUUGGAAAAAAUUAAAGUGAAAAACAUACCUUCUAAUUUGUUGUUAAAUAGAUCUAUUUCUUCGAGCGUAGUUGAAUUAAAAAUACUUGAUGGAAUCUGACCUGCACACAUAGUCGAAAAUUGAAGUGAAAUCAAACUCUUUUGUGAAAAAAAUAUUACCAGAUAAUUCAUUCCAACCCAGGUAAAGCCCUUCAAGCUUGGGAAGAUGUUGACACAUAUCAUUAAGCAAACUACCUGAUAGGCUAUUGUUGGAGAGAUCAAUGGUCUUCAGAGAAGAAAUGUUGAAGAUCGAAGUUGGAAUCUGACCUGUAAGGCCUUUAAUUGCUUUAAUACUAAGCAUCUCCAAACCAAGAAGAUUACCGAUUUCCUCGGGAAUUUGACCUGCACACAUAGUCAAAAAAUCAAGGUGUCAAACUAUCUAUUUUGUUAGCAUAAGUCAAAGAGGUUUUCUUUUCUGUUCUACAGUAAUUUGAAGAUGUUAGAUUUUAAUAUAUUUCAGCAUAUGUUUUUCAUCAAAUGAAAUAAAAAGUUUUUCCUUUUUAUUAUCUAUUACAAGUCAAACUCUUUUAUAAAAAAAAAUACUUUAAAUUCAAGAAAUCAAGGAAAUUGAUUACCUUCUAGAUUAUUAAACCGCAAAUAUAAUUCCAGGAGUCGUGUUAGAUUUCCAAUACUUCUUGGAAUGAUCCCCGUCAAUUGAUUCAAGGACAAGGACAAAUUUUUAAGGUUGCUGCAUUUUCCCAUACUUGACGGAAUGUUACCAGAUAACUCGUUGCUAUGCAAGUAAAGCACUUCAAGCUUGGGAAGAUGUUGACACAUAUCAUUAGGCAAACUACCUGAUAGGCUAUUGUUGGAGAGAACAAUGGUCUUCAGAGCAGAAAUGUUGAAGAUCGAAGUUGGAAUCUGACCUGUAAGGCCUUUAAUUGCUUGAAUAUUAAGCAUUUCCAAACCAAGAAGAUUACCGAUUUCCUCAGGAAUUUGACCUGCACACAUGGUCGAAAAAUCAAGGUGUCAAACUACCUAUUUUGUUAGCAUAAGUCAAAGAGGUUUUCUUUUCUGUUCUACAGUAAUUUGAAGAUGUUAGAUUUUAAUAUAUUUCAGCAUAUGUUUUUCAUCAAAUGAAAUAAAAAGUUUUUCCUUUUUAUUAUCUAUUACAAGUCAAACUCUUUUAUAAAAAAAAUACUUUAAAUUCAAGAAAUCAAGGAAAUUGAUUACCUUCUAGAUUAUUAAACCCCAAAUAUAAUUCCAGGAGUCGUGUUAGAUUUCCAAUACUUCUUGGAAUGAUCCCCGUCAAUUGAUUCAAGGACAAGGACAAAUUUUUAAGGUUGCUGCAUUUUCCCAUACUUGACGGAAUGUUACUAGAUAACUCGUUGCUAUGCAAGUAAAGCACUUCAAGCUUGGGAAGAUGUUGACACAUAUCAUUAGGCAAACUAUCUGAUAGGCUAUUGUUGGAGAGAACAAUGGUCUUCAGAGCAGAAAUGUUGAAGAUCGAAGUUGGAAUCUGACCUGUAAGGCCUUUAAUUGCUUGAAUAUUAAGCAUUUCCAAACCAAGAAGAUUACCGAUUUCCUCAGGAAUUUGACCUGCACACAUGGUCGAAAAAUCAAGGUGUCAAACUACCUAUUUUGUUAGCAUAAGUCAAAGAGGUUUUCUUUUCUGUUCUACAGUAAUUUGAAGAUGUUAGAUUUUAAUAUAUUUCAGCAUAUGUUUUUCAUCAAAUGAAAUAAAAAGUUUUUCCUUUUUAUUAUCUAUUACAAGUCAAACUCUUUUAUAAAAAAAAUACUUUAAAUUCAAGAAAUCAAGGAAAUUGAUUACCUUCUAGAUUAUUAAACCCCAAAUAUAAUUCCAGGAGUCGUGUUAGAUUUCCAAUACUUCUUGGAAUGAUCCCC
This 78914-nucleotide long non-coding RNA is filed under the name Gossypium barbadense (sea-island cotton). RNAcentral's name for it is "long non-coding RNA (GBAR_LNC016648)". The record is from RNAcentral. Lineage: Eukaryota; Viridiplantae; Streptophyta; Magnoliopsida; Malvales; Malvaceae.